Molecule: long non-coding RNA, 61152 nt
Filed under: Hordeum vulgare
Lineage: Eukaryota; Viridiplantae; Streptophyta; Magnoliopsida; Poales; Poaceae
Description: long non-coding RNA (HVUL_LNC012421)
Source: RNAcentral
AGGAGAUGAAGGUGUCAUCAAGCUAUACGUGUGUUGAACACGGAGGUGCCAUCCGUUCGGCGAUUGAUUGGGAGUUCGCGAGACGUAUCGUUAUUGGAUCGCGAAGAUGUUCAACUACAUCAACCGCGUUCUUUUACGUUUCCGCUAAAUGAUCUACAAGGGUAGGUGGAUACAAUCUCUCCUCUCGUAGAUGUGCAUCUCUGUAACAUCCCAAAUUUUCAAAUUGGAAUGUUAUGCAUUAGAUCAUCAUUGCAUAUCAUAUUUUAUUGCAUUCUUGGUUGACCCUAGAAAUUCUACGCGACUCAAGGACCCACACAAAGCGUUGAUGAUUUCGCUAUUUUCAUAAUUGAGUUUUCCCAAAUUUGGAAAAGAGGAUCAUUUGGUUUUAAUUAUUUUCUCUUCAAAUAUUGCUAAAUAUAAAAUAAAAGAGAGGGCAUAAAAUGACUUCCCCAAAAUAAAAAAAUAUUGGUGGAAAAAUAUGAAAAUCAAAUAAGAAUUUUACUCAGAGUUUUAUUGCUAUUUUAUUUGAAUUAGGAAAAAAAAUGCAUUUUUUUAAAAUUGAAUUAGAGGCCCAAAUAAAUGUUCACCUUGUGUGUCAUAUUUUUAGAGGACGAGGAAAAUUUAUUUCAGGAUUUUUGGAGUUCGUUUGGUAUUUCUUUUUUUUUAUCUUCUACGCGUCGGAAUUAUUUAAAAAAAAGUCAAACCAUUUAAACGGGUCGUGUCCGACCGGGACUCUAUGUCGUCGGCCUUUAUCAUGAGGUAGCCGUUUUAAAAAAAGCCGUAGAUUUAUUUUUAGAUAGGUUUAGUUAUUUUAUUCCCGGUUUAUUUAAUUAGCGUAUGUUCGUACGUACGUUCGUUUUAACGAACGAUGUUCAUCCGUUAUCCGCACACAGCGAAUGUUCGUUCGUUAGCCUAUUCGUCAGUUUUUCUUUUUCCAGGGAUUUUCCGCGAUUAUUUCCAAUCGCGAUUUCUGCCGUGAUUUUCGUUUUAGUUUAUCUUUUCGCUCGUUUAUCGGAAUCAGGUGAUUCAAACGUCCAAAUCUUCGUCUCGAAACCCUCUUUCUGUUUAACGAACUUGAACAAGAUUUUUGGAUUGUAAAAUUUGACUAUGGUCCAAAUUAGUAAACGAAUCUUGUUUCUUUUGUAGUUUGAGUUUCGUUGCUUCGUUUGUUUUGAUUCUUUUUGCAAACCGGAGUUCUUCAAUUGAACUUUCUGGUUAGAUCUCUUAUUUGAGUUUUACCCGUGCUUCUAGUUUGAGUGCUUAUGUAUGUUAUUGUUUGUUUACGAUAGAGUACCCGGAGUGCGAAGCAUGCUACUACGAGUCUCUAGGUUUUGCGGAUCAUCAGCAAGGCAAGUAACACUUUGAUCAUACCUCUUUACUACCCAGUUUAAUUGCAUUAGAUCAACACUCAAACAUUGCAUGGUUAGGAUCUGAUUAACGUGUGGGUUUUGGGAAGUAGAUGAUGAGUUGAACCUAUUCUCCUAUUUAUUAUCAAAUCUUUAGGAGUUACUUCUAUGUUUUGCUUAUUGCUAUGCUAUGCUCGUAGACAUGGAUUGGGUGAGUGUAUCCAUGACAUAUGUGAGUAUUGUUAAUUAAUGGUUCACUUAAGGUGGCUACUUAAAUACAGAUCUGGGUGGAUUUCUUGAGGCACCCUGGGGUACCCAGUGGUUGUCAGGGCACCUGGAGAAAUCCAGUGUUGUUCUAGGACAUCCCGGAGUAACCGUAUGAUCAUCCUACGGUCCGCCACCCAGGCUCAAAGGGAUCAUAAGAUUAUUCAUUCUAGAAUCUUCCGUGUGCAGCCACAUCUGGCAUAGUUGAGUAAGUUGCGUGAAGCUCUUGAAGCGGUAGACUAGCAGAUGUAGUGGGUUGUAGGUGGUACGGUCUACCCACAGUAGAGAGCUAAUGCUUCAGAAAGACUAUGCCUCGAUUCUCCGACCAUGGAUGUAUUGGAGUCUUGUGGGAAAAGUGCGCAAACCUCUACAGAUUGUACAAACUAAUCAUGGUUAGCCGUGUGCCCGGUUAUAGACAUCUUGAGUAUCUAAUUCUUGGAUUAUCAUGUUGAUCUCAUCACCCUAAAUAAAUUUGUUGGGUUUAAUGAUGAUGCUUAAUUGGGAUUGAGUUGGAGGAACCUUCUCAAUGUUUAACAACAACUAUGAUAGUUAAAUAAAACUUAUUCCGUUGUUGUAGGAUAAAGAUUGGCUUUAUGCAAAACUGUUAACCAUAGAGCUUUCCCCCAGCCAUAUAUGCAUGUAGAAAUAGCAUUUAUUCCGUUCAUUAAUCUAUGUGUUACAUUGCCAGCAUAUUCCAUGUGCUGACCCGUUUCGGGAUGCAACAUUUCGUGUUGCAGACUUUUAAGACGUCGAGUAAGGUGCCAUAGGUCGUUGUCUUUCACUCAGCUAUGCCGUUGGAGUUGAUGGUCUCACUUUAUCUUCCAAGCCUUCCGCUGUUAAUGUUUUAGAUGCCCUUAAGCCAUAUUAUUGUAAUAAGUUCUCUUUUGAGACAUUCGAUGUAAUAAGGGUGUGACUGAAACUCUGUUAUAAAUCCUCAAGUACUGUGCGUGUCAGCAUUACCGAUCCAGGGAUGACACAAAUGCAUAGAGACUGGACUGUUUGAGGUCUUGUCGCUACAAGAUGGUACCAGAGCCAAGUUGACUGUAGGACACGACCACUAAGCUAAAACCAUAGGUCACUCCUCUCUUCCCAUUUCUGACUCCUGUCCCCUUUCUUCUCUAUAGGAUGGUGGAUGCAAAGAACAAGUUCACACAACCGGAUGAAGAUACACCUUUUGGAAGACACUUGAAGGAAGUUACUAGGUACCUGAACAUCGGAAUACCAAGCUUCACCAGGACCUACAUCGCCACUUUACCAGAAGAGGAGCAUUGGAAGAUUCGAGUUCAAUUUCCAGGAAGGACGUUCAUGCCAGUCACUGAGCCCAUAGAGUUUUCCUUUGAUGCACCAACCUGGAGUCUAGGAAAGAGCAUGGCAGCCCACGUCACCAUGGGACGCAUUGGAGAAGUUUACCACAAGGAUCUCAAGGAUACUAUCUACCAGAUUUGUGGGCACCGAGACGAGCAAUGGGAGAUGAUCAGCACCAAGGGUACAGAUCCAUUGCAGCUUUCAUCCAGGAGUUAAACCAACACAUUCGACGCCAGGAGGACCAAAUGUGCACUGGCAUGAAUGAUUUGAAGAAGGAAAGGACCAGGAUUACGGAGCUGGAGGAAGAACUCAAAUCUACAUGCGAUGGAUACAAGGGGAGAUAAAGAUACUUGUGGAGAAGAUUGAAGAUUUGACAGGGAAGCUAGAAUUAUUCAUGGUAGACCCCGCGCCAAGUGGAGAUGAAGACGAUUCCACUUGUCCGGAGAACUACAUCAUCAUCGACGACACCGACUCAGACUCUGACGAUAGAGAUGAUGACUACGUUGAUGAAGCUGGAGCAGAUAUAAUGGAGUCCUCCAUCGAUCAAAACUUCUAGUCGACCACCAUAUCAACAGUAGUAUUUCCCAUGUACAUAGUAUAGUCCGAGCACUUUUGUAACGAUAGUUAGACUAUUUGUAUGCCCUUGUUUGAAUUGAUUGAAGUGAUAUGAUUGUGUUUGUCUCAUGUGCAUAUCGGUAGUGUUUUCUCUUUAGACCUCAUUCUAUUCUGUUUUCUCAUCUUUUCUAAACCCAUCAGAUGCGCGUGAGAUGUGACCCCGGAUUUUCUUUCCCACCGGAGCUCACUCAGUUGAUCUAGCAGCAGAAUACCCUGAUGCAGCUACUAGUCCAGAAUCAGAACCAGGGGAAGAACAACUACCCACCACCACCACCACUACCUGUUGAUCACUUAGCCCGUUUCUUAAGGCUAAAUCUGUCGGUGUUCUCUAGUAGCACCGAGCCGAUUGUUGCAGAUGAUUGGCUCCACAAGAUUGGAAGGGAGUUGACCACUGCAGGAUGCAUAGAUGUGGAGAGAGUGCGUUCUACCGCACAUCAGCUAGAUGGACCCGCAUCAUCAUGGUGGGAGAAUUUUAAAGUCACUUACCCCAUCGACACUGUCACAUGGGACUAGUUUCAGCAGGCUAUUCGCACCGCCCNNNNNNNNNNNNNNNNNNNNNNNNNNNNNNNNNNNNNNNNNNNCAGCAGGAGUUAUGGCCAUGAAGAAGCGUGAGUUUCGCAACUUGUGCCAAGGAGGACGCACAGUGGGCUAGUAUGUGGAGGAUUUUAGUAAGUUAGCACGUUAUGCCCCGGAUGACGUUGCUACAGAUGCCACUAAGAAGGAGAAGUUCCUGGAAGGACUAAAUGAUGAGCUAAGCAUGCAGUUGAUGGUGGCAACCUUCAACAACUACCAAGAGUUGGUAGAUAGAGCUCUCAUGAUUGAAGGGAAGCAGCAGCAGAUUGACAACUGCAGGAGGAAGUAUGGACAAGGGAAGUACAAAUCAGGAGCUCAGCAGAGGCCCCGUUUUACCCCGAACUCGGGAGGACACAUUCACCAUAACUGUUGUGGAUAUUAUCUGCCAUGUGACCCGCCCUAGUUGGGCCGGUCACCAAGUGGGCGACUCAUACUUUGGUGGUUCAAGGUUUGGCCUAGAAGGCCCAGGAGCUGGAUGGCGGUUCAAGAUCUACAUGGAGGAUAAGUCAUCAGGGAGUCUUCGAGUCUUGGAAAGCACGGCGAUUUAGAGAUUAAAGGAAUCACGACUUGUGUUAUGGCAAGGACUCUUGUAAACCCUAGGGCCUCGACCUGUAUAUAAAGGCGAGCCCCUGGAGAGGGGAGGUCAGGUUAGAAAUCAUCGAGAGCUAGGUCAGGCGAGUUACGCCCUCCUUGUAAUCGAAACAUCAUCAAUACAACACUAGAAGGACAUAGGCUUUUACCUCACCACGAGGGGCCGAACCUGGGUAAAACCGAGUCCCUCUUCCACUCAAACCCCUUUGAGUCGCCACCAAGGUGCGAUGGCUCCAUCAUUAAGUCCUUUCACUAGGACAUCUGCCGUGAGAAAACCACGACAGUUGGCGCCCAUCGUGGGGCCUACGCACGGUGGAGUUGAGUUCUCGUAGGGAGCCCUACCAGGGUCAGGGAGCUACGCGGUUGGGCUCAUGACCCGGAGGCGCCGCGGAAAGUACUACAUCGACAACUCGCUGUGGGAACCCGAGGCCGAUUCGAUCAAAUCCGGCUACAAAGUCCCCUUCGGCAAGGUCAACAUCUUCAUCGGCAUGGUCAGAGCACCCAUGCCCGAGCCGGACAUCUUCACUGACACCGUCGAGCCAGCCAGGUAUGUCCGUCCCGUCGUGCCACAAAGCCCGACGCACCCAGUUUCCGUCGGCUUAACGCAGGGAUCUGAUGAGCCAGAGCGGUCGGCGAAUCGGGAGGCCACACCAGUCAACUCUGACGAGGAGUCAUCCAUGGGCGACACAGAUUCGAUCCAGUCCCUGCAUGAAGGCCGCCUCAAAGAUCUGUCGCUGGCGAUGGAUCCUGAAGUCCUCGACCGGACCCGCCGUCAGAUCGCCAUAUACAUGGCGGGGGCAACACAGUCCCAGCAAAACCCUGCAGGCAAUAACGAGGCUGGCGGCCCAUCCAAAAGCCUAGCUGAGGUCCUGGUGGACCUGUCGCUGGAGAUAACGAGGCUCAUGGCAACCCCCGUGAUGGCAGAAAACCAGGGAACGAUCAACGCCGAGUUGGCAAAGCUGCGAGAUGAGAUGGCGAAGGCCUAGCGAGAUGCAGAGGCAGAAGCCGCCAGGAUUGCGACCCAGCAAGCUCAGAUCACCGUGGAGACGGCCCACUUAAACACUGAGAACUUGUGACUUGAAAGACAACAGCGCGUGUCCGACGCUGUCCAUCCGAGGAGGCACCAGGGGAGUUUGCCCCUGAUCUGAACCCUACCCGCCUUUUCAACACUCCGCGUACCCCCGGGACGGGAACCGUUCCAGAGGGAGGGCCGGCUCAGCCACCAAACCCACCGCCUCAGCCAGCGGAUGAUCGCGUACCCCGUUUCCAUACGCCUCAGGGCCACUUUUCCAACCCCAUGGACAAUGUGCUCGCAGCGACUCGCCACUUGGAGUCCCUUCCAAUUUAUGGAAACACCCCGACUGAAAUAGAAGCAAGAAAUGCCAUUGAGAUGUUGAAAACGGCGGUGGUCUAGAACGUGCAAUUCUCACACAGCCUCGACCGGCUGCACUCCACCCCCCAGACGAGCCGCACCAGAAGUCGGCCGGAGGACCCACCCGCCGUAACUAGCGGACUGCGGCACCUACCUCAGGGUAACCCGCCCGACCAUCGGGACCCUCCCGCCCGCAACACCGUUGGUGCGACGGGCCAGGAUCAUCAAGGCCAGAUCCAAACCCACCCAGCGUCACUCAGCGGAGGUGGCAGGCACGUCGGGGUGCCGUGUUUGUCCAUUGCCCUGCACAACAAGCGAAUGCCGAAGGACUUCAAAGGUCCAAGGAAGGUGCCCAACUACACCCCGGAUCUUGAGCCGGCAUUGUGGGUUGAGAGUUAUGACCUCGUGAUGGACAUGCUCGACGUGAGUGAAGCGGCCUGUACCAGGUACUUCACAAUGAUGCUGGAAGGAACGGUGCGCACUUGGUUGAAAAACCUGCCACCCAACUCCAUCCAGACUUGGGCUGAACUGAAGGAGCAUUUCAUCAAAAACUUUCGAGGAACUUGCAAAUGCCCAAUGACGAUCGUCGACUUACAUCAUUGCAUUUAGCGGCCUGACGAGUCGGCUCAUCAUUGGACGCGGCGGGUUGCAGAACUCAUCCACUCGUCGGACGGCAUCACGGCGGCCCAGGCCAUGCUAAUUCUAGAGCAAAACUGCCACUACGAGCCCCUCGUACAGAAGCUGGGGCGACUCAAGCGCAAGGUCCAGGAUAUGGGCGAAUUGAUGGAUACCCUCACUCGGUACGCUGAAGCGAACGAUACCAAAGAUCCAGGAGAGGACAGUAGGAAGGCCAACCCGCCAAGGAAAGGCGAGUCAUCCAAGAAUCACUCCCAGUUUCAAGGACGCGCCCACCAUAAUCAUGGUGGAAAUGGCAAGAGAAGGCAGCAGGAAGGACCCACGGACUUCGUCGCCAAUACGAACGCUAACAAUGGCAACCAGCGCCAGAAGAAGAUGGGUUACAGUGGCAAGAAGCCGCGCAAUUAUAACGAGAUACUUAAGGACCCCUGCCCGCAUCACACCAUGACAGAAGGACCAGCGACCCACUCUUGGGAAGACUGCUACGUGAUGUAGGAAUUUCGGGCGGAGGCACUCAAGAAAGGCCAAGCCGGCGACCAGAGCCAACGGCAGGAACAGUUCGGUGCGCCUAAUCAACGUCAGAACCCGUUUGGCGGCUUUCCCAAACCAGGACCCCAGGGUGGCUCGCAACCAAGGAGUGGCCAGUUCCCGGUGCAUAACCAGCAGUGGUAUAACCCGCCCGGAGUGUUUCAGAAGCCACCCCCGCAGGGGGCUCCCAAGGGCAAGAUAAUAAUGGCGGAUUCCGCAGCAAUCCCAAGCAAUUAAACAGCGGACAAUACCAUGUAUUCACCACCAGUGCCUGUAAGCGAGACAAGAAGGUGAAGCACAGGACAUAUAGCGUGUCCGAGCCGGCGCUCUCCAGGUACCUCCAUUGGUGUGAGCAAACUAUCUCUUGGAGUAGGGAGGAUCACCCGCCCAGAAUUGACAACCCCGGUGACUUGGCAUUGGUCGUGGCCCCCCAAGUCGGGGGAUAUACCCUUUCAAAGGUUCUUAUGGAUGGUGGCAGCAGCAUCAACAUAUUAUAUUUCAACACCUUUCGAAGGAUGAACCUCUUGCAGAAGGACCUAAUCCCGUCAACCACGGUUUUCCAUGGUAUCGUUCCGUAUAAGUCGGCAUACCCAAUUGGGCGAGUCAAACUUAACGAGGCUUUUGGUACAACAUCCAAUUACAGGAGCGAGUCGCUUAUAUUUGAGGUGGUCAAGCUGAAGAGCCCUUAUCAUGCAUUGUUCGGGCGGCCGACUUACGCCUGGUUCAUGGCUCGCCCCUGCUAUGUCUACCUUAAACUCAAGAUGCCUGGCCCUAAGGGACCCAUCACGGUCGAUGGUGACAGGAGGAUAGCAAAGGAGUGUGAGGAAGGAGAUGCGGCUUACGCAGAAAUCGCUUGCGCCGCGGAAGAGCUCAAGUAUCACCAAGCCAAUGUUGACCUGUCGGAUAUGUCGCCUCUCAAGAAGCCAACAACUGAUGUUGAGCCGCUCCUCAAGUUUAAGCCGACGGAUGACACUAAGAUGGUGGACUUCACUCCUGGCGACUCGUCCAAGCAGUUCACUAUCGGGGCGGGUCUGGAUCCCAAAUAGGAAAGCGCGCUCAUCGAAUUCAUCAGUGAGAAUCGGGACAUCUUCGCAUGGAAACCUUCUGACAUGCCUGGUGUACCGAGAGAAUUCGCUGAGCACCAUCUUAAUGUUGACCCUAAAGCAAAGACGAUUCAGCAAUAUCUUCGCAGAUUUAAUGAGGAGCGACGCAAGGCGAUCGGAGAAGAAGUCGCCCGUCUUUUGGCCGCCGGAUUCAUCAUUGAGGUCUUCCACCCUAGAUGGUUGGCUAACCCGGUCCUGGUGCUCAAGAAGAACGACACUUUUCGCAUGUGCUUCGACUACACCGACCUCAACAAAGCUUGCCCAAAAUAUCCUUUCGCCCUUCCCCUCAUUCAUCAAAUCAUUGACUCGGUUGCGGGAUGCGAGCGUUUGUGUUUCUUGGACGCCUACUCCGGAUAUCACCAGAUCAAGAUAGCUGUGGAAGAUCACGAGAAGACGGCCUUCAUAACCCCAUUUGGGGCUUUUUCCUAUGUAUCCAUGCCGUUUGGGCUCAAGAGCGCUGGGGCGACUUACCAGCGUUGUAUCCAAAAGUGUCUCCACGGCCAAAUCGGACGCAACGUCCAUGCUUACGUUGAUGACAUCAUCGUUAAAUCUCGCAAGAAGGAGACGCUCUUGGAGGAUCUCAAGGAAACCUUUGACAAUCUGCUUGUGUAUCAGAUGAAGCUUAAUCCCACCAAAUGUGUCUUUGGUGUUCCUACAGGAAAGCUUUUAGGUUUUCUGGUGUCAGAACGCGGCAUUGAGGCCAACCCGUACAAAAUCGAAGCAAUCACCUCGCUUGGGAAACUAGCGAAUAUUAAUCAAGUCCAACGCAUGGCAGGUCGUAUUGCGGCCUUGAGUCGCUUUAUAAGCUGCCUGGGGGAGAAAGCCAUUCCCCUCUAUCAGUUGCUUAAGAAAGCUGAUCGGUUUGUUUGGACGGACGAGGCCAACAAAGCUUUUGAAGCCCUGAAGCAGCAACUGGUCAACCCACCGGUUCUGGCCGCCCUGACUGAAAAGGAGCCUAUGCUUUUGUACAUCGCGACGAAUACCAAGACGGUGAGCAUGGCAGUGGUUGUUCAACAGAAGGAAGAAGGAAAGGAAUACCCGGUACAACGCUCGGUGUAUUUUAUCAGCGAGGUUCUAAUCCUCUCCAAACAACGUUAUCCACAUUGGCAGAAGUUGGUUUAUGGGAUGUUUAUGGUGAGUCAGAAGCUAAAACAUUGUUUACAAGAAUAUCCUAUCAUGGUGGUUAGCUCCGCUCCUCUUGGGGAUAUCAUCCAGAACCGAGAAGCAACGGGACGAAUCGCCAAGUGGGAAUUGAGCUCGGGCCACACCACGUGCGGUAUACGCCUCGCACGGCUAUCAAGUCCCAGGCAUUGGUCGAUUUCAUCAAUGAUUGGACUGAGUUACAGAUUCCCGAAGACAGGCUUGAUCUCACGUACUGGACCAUCUACUUUGACGGGUCUAGGCAAUUGGAGGGCUCGGGGGCUGGCGUGGUGAUGAUUUCACCCUAGGGAGACAAGUUCUGUUAUGUUCUCCAACUCAUGUUCCCGUGUACCAAUAACGCUGCAGAGUACGAAGCCCUACUUCAUGGUUUGGACUAGCCAAUGAGAUGAACCUCACACGCGUCAGCUGCUUGGGCGAUUCCGAUCUGGUGGCACAACAAGCUUCAUGUACAUGGGAUUCCCGGGACCCCCUAAUGGUGGCACAACAAGUUUCAGGUACAUGGGAUUUCCAUGGUUAUCAAGUCGAUCAUAUCGACUGGCGACUUAAUGAAGCAGCUGAUGCCCUCUCGCGUCUCGGCUCGCAACGUAAGCCGGUUCCUCCUAAUGUCUUUGUGGAUAUUCUGCAUAAUCCUUCUGUGAGGUUGCCUUCAGAAGAGGAACUGGCGAUACCAGAUCCCGAGUCUCAGUUUGUGGCAGCUCUACGUGCUAUGCCGGAUUGGGUUCUUCCUUACUUGGCGUACCUCACGGGAGGCGAGUUACCUUCGGAUGAGGUGUUGGCCCAUCAAAUCGUUCGUCGGAGCAAGUCCAUUGUCGUCAUCAACGGCGAGUUAUACAAACUAAGUACUUCUGGGGUAUUUCAAAGAUGCGUUUCUUCUGAUGAAGGGUGCAUAAUUCUCAACGAGAUCCAUGCAGGAGAUUGCGGGCAUCACGCCGGGUCACGUUCCCUGGUUUCCAAGGAGUUCCGGCAUGGGUUCUUUUGGUUGACGGCUCAUGCGGAUGCAGAAGAGAUAGUUCGUCAAUGUGAUGGCUGUCAAUGUUUUGGACAACAGGUUCAUGUGCUGGCUCAAUAAUUAAGGAUGAUCCCCAUCACUUGGCCUUUUGCGGUCUGGGGGUUAGAUAUGGUUGGUCCCUUUAAGAUGUCAUCCAAUAAAAAGACUCAUCUACUGGUGGCGGUCGAUAAAUUCACCAAGUGGGUCGAAGCAGAGCCUGUUGGCAGCUGUGACGCGGAAACGGCCAUCAAAUUCUUGAAAAAAUUGAUAUCCCGGUUUGGAUACCCACACAGCAUUAUCACUGAUAAAGGUACCAACUUAUCACAAGGGGCGAUGCAGGAGUUUUGCAACCGGGAGCAUAUUCGGCUUGAUGUGUUUGCGGUUGCUCGUCCACAAUCUAAUGGGCAGGCAGAACGGGCGAAUCAGGAAGUGCUGCGGGGAAUCAAACCCCGACUUAUGUUUCCCCUGGAACGCACCCCAGGGUGUUGGGUUGAGGAGUUGCCUUCGGUAUUAUGGAGCAUUCGAACCACCCCGAAUCGUUCUAUGGGUUUUACUCCUUUCUUCUUGGUAUACGGAGUAGAAGCCGUUCUUCCCGGUGACAUUAGGCAUGACUCGCCCCGAGUCGCCGCUUAUGUGGAGUAGGAUAAUGAGUUGGCACAUCAAGAUUCUUUGGAUGCUUUGGAGGAAGCACGCGAGUUGGCUGCCUCCCGAUCGACUAUCUAUCAGCAAGACUUGCGGCGUUAUAAUAGCCUCCGGGUCAAGAGCCGAGCUUUUCAAGAGGGCGACUUAGUGCUCCGGUUGAUCCAAGAUCGCACUAGCAUGCAUAAGUUGUCACCGCCAUGGGAAGGACCGUUUGUCAUCAACAAAAAUCUUCGCAAUGGGUCAUACUAUUUGGUGGAUCUUCGGCCUGAUCGGCCAACGACGGAGGCUAAGUCAACUCGCCCCUGGAACAUAGCCCAUGUGCGGCCUUACUACACUUGAGCUAUUGGCUCCCCUUUUUCCUUUCUCUCCCAUCUUUGGAAAUUGUAAGUCCUUUGUUUAUAUAAAGCAAUAAAGUCGAUACCCACGAAUUUUGGGUUUUCCUGCCACUUCAUCUUCUUGAAAGCAUGGAUCUUUAUUGUCCUUCAACAAGUCACCCAAGCAUGGACGCUAUCAAUACCAGAGAGCAUAAGUCGCCAUGCUGCACUUAUUACAACACUGGGUAUCGAUAAGCCAAAGAGGAUCAAGUCGCUACAAGCGCACGAUUCAAACAUGGGCACCUUAUAUGAUUCUUAGGAUUAGGCCGGCUUACUUGGGGGCUAUCAGCUCCCAAGUCGUUUUGUGGUAAGAGCGUAUACGCUUCUACAAUCCUAUGACCAGUCUUUCCCCUAAUCAUAGGUCACUUGGGGGCUUCCUCUCACUGAGAUCAGCCUAACUACCCAUUUGGCUAGCGAAAAAUUACCGCACUAAAAAUGGUUAUACUGGACUGUGUGUUGGCCAAAUCGCCAUAUGGAACCAUGAACUCUUGGCGAGUCAAUCCGCUAUUUGGACCCUGAACUCACCUUGGUUAAAAUAUGCAUGGUACCGGCUAGUGCCCCACAUGGAAAAUAGAGAAACCAUUGGUUCAUUGAACCUGCUUCACCGAAGCUUGACUCGCGCCUGAUCAGCCGGUCUAAAUACUUGAUCUUUUUUGCACAAAAACUCUCCUUUGGGUAGCACUUGAGUUUUUCUAACUCGUCCUAUCCUGUCGCGAGUUGAACGAGCCAACGAAAUUCUUACUAUCACCUUCCUGGCACUGCCAUAAGGUUUCACAGAUCUAUGAGACUCGCCGUGUCUCGUUGAGCCGGGUUUCUUCAUACAAUUUGCCAAGACACCUUGAGUCGGUUAUUAUUUAUCAUCAUCCAUUACUCAUUGAGAUGGUUUGAUAUAUGCUUUUGCUAGCCAAACAGGUUGGUGAUCGAAUCUUUACUGACAUGGCGGGUCAAGCAUCAUGGCACUCCAAGGGCGGCACAAGGUUUUUUCAAAGGUCACAGAAGAGUUCCACAACAGACAUAAGCAAAGGAUUGUUUUCUACAAUGACCUAUUACAUGGCUCAGAUGGCCAAAUCAGUAGGGUCUAUUCUGCUGGUGCCUCCGGGUCAACUUGCCUCGAGCUGUGGCCGACUUCAAGUUGUAAAUCGCGAAGUACCCAAUUACACUUGGAUAGAGCGGCAAAUUCGUCUUCAUCGUUCANNNNNNNNNNNNNNNNNNNNNNNNNNNNNNNNNNNNNNNNNNNNNNNNNNNAGAUCCGACUCCAAAUCAAAAGGUUCUUGGAUCGACGAGGAGUUAAGCUGGUUGUCACAAAUGCAGGCGGGUUUACUUUCUUGUUCUUGUCAUCAUAAGUGGCUUGGUACUUUGAUAAAUCCAAACUUGCUGCUAGCUGAGUCGCCGCCGAGCGUGAUUCCUUGACGACGCAAUGAUAAUCAUCUUGAGUAAACUCUGACUCGUCAUCCUUGAGCUGUGGGAAGCCUGCUGCUACCUCUUCGGGCUUCAGUUCUGGAGCAUACGCCAAACACCGACACAAGGUAGCCAGCGCCCCUUCCGGGCGGCUGAUCGGGUUAGCUCACCUAUCUGAGGCGGAAGGGUGGAUAAGCAUCCAAGCAUCUUUUUGAUUCAUGUGAUUGGUUCCUUGGUGCCCAUCACUGCCUUCAUGAUCAGCAUGCUCCCAGUACACAGCUGCUCAGUCAGUGUGUAAAUCGCCUUUAACUUCAAGAUGCAGUCGUCCUGAAGGUUGGCGGCUCUCGGGCCUGCGUGAGAAAGACAAAUGAUGGUUCGUACUUUGUUUUUUUCACACUAAUUUUUUAUUUUAGAGAUACGAAACCAGGAAUUCCUUCUUACCAAAGAUGGUCCGUGUCAUGCUGGAAAUAUGUUUCUUUAAACCGGCCAGUUCUUGUUGCAUCGCUCCCAAUUUUGUUUCAGUCGUUUCAGCUCGCUUUAGCGUGGUGGCUUGAUCAACUUGAGAUUUCUUGUCGGCGGCUUUCAGCUUUUCCAUAUUAGCUAAGAUUUCCUGUUAUUUUUCUUCUGCUUGAGCCCGCGCGUCUUGCUGGUCGGCUAAACUUUUCUUUAAGUCGCCCAACGUUGACUCGGCUUGGGCUAUAGAUUCCUGUCAACAUAUUUUGGAGGGACAAGUCUCAGAAUUGUUGCAAGCAACAUCCCUGACACUUGGGGGCUAAUGUAUAAUUUAAAAAAAAAACAAAAUUAUACCACAAGCAAGACCCGACUCAUCUUUCAAUAGAUGACCCGACCCUUGGGGGUUACGGGUCAAAGAUUUUUUAUACAUCAAGACCCGGAUCAUCUUUCAAAAGAUAACCCGGCCCUUGGGGGUUACAGGUCGAAGAUUUUUUCUACAUCAAGACCCGGCUCAUCUUUCAAAAUAUGACGGGGGUUAUAGGUCGAAGAUUUUUUCUAAGUCAAGACCUGGCUCAUCUUUCAAAAGAUGACCCGACCCUUAUGGGUUACAGGUCGGAAGAUUUUCUAACGCAAGACCCGGCUCAUCUUUCAAUAAGAUGACCCGGGCCUUGGGGGCUAAUGAGGAGGGUAUGCAUUAAGGCGUACCUCAUGUUUAUUCUUCAUCAUAUGGAGUAGGUUCUUCUCCAUUUCAUAACUUGUUUCUAGGCGACUUGCGAAGCCGGAGCAGAGUUCAUCAAACUCAAGUUUUUCAUAUUGAGGAAGUUUGGCCUUGGAGAUCUCAUGUCUGGUGGAAGGAUGGGACGAUGUUGAUACAUGCUGUGAUAAGAUUGCUGAAGCCGGCUUAGAGAAGACAGUACUAGUAAUGACCACAACAUCAGGAUCUUCAGCCGCCUUCAACGGACUUGGCGGGUUGGUUGUUUCCAUGCCUUCCUUGGGAGAACUUGGAAGGUCAAUUCGGUCAUCAGUAUAUCUUUUGUCGGGUCAACAUGAGCCGGUGCUGGGUCUUCUUUAAGCUGUGGGGCAGAAGGAGUGGAAGUUGGGCCGCCGGUUUUCCUCUUCUUUGCUUGCGCUCUAAGAAAAAUAGGGUCAUGUUUAAAGCAAGCAUCAUUAUCAUCAGGAAAGACAUAAGUAUUAUAAGGACUUACCAUUGUACGCGAAUCAUUGGCGGAAGGGCCGACAUCACUGAGUAGCCCGAUGAAGGGGGGAAAGUCUGCAAAAGUAAUAUCUCAAAAUAUGAGCGAGUUACAAGUGUGAUCCAAUAGAAAACAAAGGUAGAAAUUGAUAGAGGGUACCUCCUUUCGCCGUUUCUUGGUAGGGGUUUUUAUUGGUAACCCGAACAUCAAAUCCACUGAGUGGCUUCGAGUUUUCCGAAAGGAAGUGUGUUGCGACUUCUUCAAGAGGAAAUUAGGGUCUAGACAAGCAUUCGGGUGAGACAUGGGAACUUUCCCACAAACUCGCCUGGCCGACUUAGGCGAAGGAGAAGUUGAGUCGGAAGAAAUGGAAAUUACCUCUACGGCGUCAUCCUGGCUUUCGUUAUCAUCAUUCUAUACAUGGAAAUGCAGAGAUAUAAGCACAAAUUAGAGUAAAAGUGCGUCAAGACAAAAAGGAUAAAAUUUUACCUCUGAAGACGCUUCGCCGACUUGGGAUUCGUCCACAUCAGACGAUUUGGCGACAGCGGCUUGGUUUUUACCCUUGGACUUCUUUUUAGGAGGCGAUUUGGUUUGCUUCAGGGCAAGCUUCUUCGGCCUUCGUGACCAGAAUCGGUCGCCCUUCUGAGGUGGAAUUAUCAUUAUGCAAGUCAGAAUCCGGGUAAGUUGNNNNNNNNNNNNNNNNNNNNNNNNNNNNNNNNNNNAAAGAGUGAACCAAGGGCGGGCCAAAUUAUUUACCUUAGGAGCCGGGUUAAUCUUGCAAAAUGGCCUAAGCCCUAUUUGGCUACAUUUGGCCAAAGGCUCGCCGGUUUGCUUCUUGAUGAUGCUCACAAUGUCUUCCUCUGUGAGUGCUAUGUGGAAGUAGCAUUGAGGAUGGUUCAAAGUACCAGCAAACUUGCACAUCAAGCCGUCUAGGCGACUCAAGGGAAGGAUGUGCCAUUCCACCCAGCAGCGGAUCAGAUCAACUCCAGUAAGACCAAUGUUUGUUAAAGAUCGUAACUCGGAUAGCACUCGAAUGAAAUCUGAUUCAUCUUCUUCGGUGAGCUUGUCAGGAAGUUUGAAGUUUGUGGGCAGACGCUCCUUCCUGUAGCCUAGGAGUUUGUUCUCACCCAGAGGAGAAGUGUCCCGAUAAUAAAACCAAGACUCGGCCCAGCCUUUGGGGUGGCUGGGCAUGGCGAGUGAUGGGAAUGGACUGUCCUUGCGUUGUUGAACAUUAACCCCUCCAAGUUCUAAGCUAGGGCCAUUGGAGAACUCGGUCUGGCGAUUCAGGUGGAAGAAAUACCAAAACAAAGUGACCGACGGUUCCAUUCGUAGGUAAGCUUCACAGAAUACCUGGAAUUAGCACAUGUUGCUGAUCGAGUUGGGGCCCAGGUCUUGUAGGCAGAUGUUCAUAAAAAACAUAGCAUCUCUGAGGAACUUUGACCCUGGCUGCUAAAACCCUCGUUCGAGGUGGUCAGCAUAAACAACUAUUUCCCCUUCGGCCGAGUUGGGAAUUUCGUCGCCUAGUCCAGAUCGUCAUCCAAUGACUUCCUACGGGUCAAGGUUCCAUGUAUUUACGCACUGCUCGAGGAAGGUGUCGUCAAUUUUGGUCGGGAGCCAGUCGGCCUUAAAAACGGUACCCAUAGCUACAGAGGAAAAGGUCAUGGGUAAGUUAACCCGCCAAAACGCUUGUCGAGUGGUUGGGAGAAUCUAUUAACUGGCCAACAAGGGACCAGGUUUGGGCACGAGGGCGAUUUAGGAAUUUCCCAUUACUCACAGGAGGUACCUCAGGGCAUCAAAAACAUGCAGAAAAAUGACGAGGCAUGAAUCUACAAACAGUCUUCUACAUAGCAAGCAAUGCAACGGGGAUGUGCGAGCAAGGUAAAAUAACGGAGAAAACCUGGAUAAAGUGAAACAGAUCACGGUUGAAAGCAACUACGGCAGGGGUGAUUUAACCAAAGCCCUCUUGGUUCUCUAAACCGAAAUUAAAUGGAUUGGAGAUGUGGUCGGUGCUAAUAUGCUAAGCUACCACAUUGGAUCGAUUGGCAAACGCCGAGGAGUUCAAGGAGUUCUAGGGCGCAGCGAAUGGCGAACGUUGAAAGGCUCGGAUCUGUUCGUAAUGGUGGAAGACUAACCUGUUAAACAACGUCCGGAGGCGAUUGUACAGACCCGCGGUGGAGAUGGUGUGCCCGUUUAGCUCGACGAUGCGACGGACGCAGUGGCCGACGGCGGAGACCCUCGGGCGACGAUGGAGCUCGUCGGGCGGCGGCGGAGUUCCUUGUGUGGCUUCGAGGAAGAAGAAGAAACAGAAGAAGAAUGGGCAAAGAUUCCCUCUGCCCCCAUUCUCGAGCCUAUUUAAUAGGUCAGGUGCGGGGAUCAAGGCGCCUCGCGCAGGAACCGAAGGGGGCAAAUUAAAGAUUCGCACUUAUGGCUCCAAUAUUUUCGGGAUAUUUGCGCCGAGAGAUCCGUUGGGGAUUGCGUCAUCAUUUUCUGGAAUUAAAGGGAUAAGGUGACGUCACCGUAAACGGUUCGGCGACUUGGGUAUUUCCAUGGUGGAUGGCGGCUUAAGCGUAUGGUGCACGAGAAAGGUGGAAUGAGUCGUUCCUAAAGUAGGUAAAAGUUUAUUGGCGUGAACAGGUUCAAGUCAAUAUGGGGCCUAAUGNNNNNNNNNNNNNNNNNNNNNNNNNNNNNNNNNNNNNNNNNNNNNNNNNNNNNNNNNNNNNNNNNNNNNNNNNNNNNNNNNNNNNNNNNNNNNNNNNNNNUAAGUCAUCAGGGAGUCUUCGAGUCUUGGAAAGCACGGCGAUUUAGAAACUAAAGGAAUCACGACUUGUGUUAUGGCAAGGACUCUUGUAAACCCUAGGGCCUCGACCUGUAUAUAAAGGCGAGCCCCUGGAGAGGGGAGGUCAGGUUAGAAAUCAUCGAGAGCUAGGUCAGGCGAGUUACGCCCUCCUUGUAAUCGAAACAUCAUCAAUACAACACUAGAAGGACAUAGGCUUUUACCUCACCACGAGGGGCCGAACCUGGGUAAAACCGAGUCCCUCUUCCACUCAAACCCCUUUGAGUCGCCACCAAGGUGCGAUGGCUCCAUCAUUAAGUCCUUUCACUAGGAAAUCUGCCGUGAGAAAACCACGACAAUAACCAUGGAGGCCAUCAUUCCAAUGGAGGGAGUUUGCAUAAUCAUAAUGGCCCCAAGAAUGGGAAUGGGAAUGGAGGAAGCAACGGACAGAACCGUUCCAACCCAGCAACGCCCGCCAAGAAGGAUCUAAGUCACAUUAGUUGUUUUUAGUGCGGGAAUAAUGGACAUUACGCCAUGGAGUGUCCUAAAGCAAAGAAUGGAAAUGGCAAUGGAAGCUCUGGGAAUAAGCCCAACCCUUUCAACAGGGGACAAGUGAACCAUGCUAGCAUGGAGGAGGUUGAAGCGCAACCCGAUUCAGUACUAGGUAAGUUUUUGGUUAGGUCAUUUACUGCAAUCGUUCUUUUCGAUACUGGAUAAGUAUAACCUGCCAACCCAAGCCCUUAGGUCACCCAUGUUAGUAACCUCGCCAGGAGCAGAGUACAUGGCUAGCCUAUGGUGUGAUCUGUUACCAUUAAGGAUUGGUAACUACGUGUUCCCCUCAGACCUAAUAGUAUUGGAGUCACAAGGACUGGAUGUAAUAUUAGGUAUGCAUUGGUUAUUGAAGUAUGGAGGGAACAUUGACUGCGCCAGUAAGUCGAUUUUUCUCACCAGCCCAGAAGGAAGAAGGAUUAAGUAUGUAUCCCGGCAUGUGCCGAAGAGAACUCUAGUAAAUUCCUUAUCAGGAGUUGUACAGGAGGAAGUACUAGUGGUGAAGGAUUUCCCUGAUGUAUUCCCAAAGGAGUUGCCAGGCAUGCCACCAGACAGAGACAUUGAGUUUUUGAUUGAGCUUUUGCCAGGCACAGGGCCAAUAUCUAAGAGACCGUAUCGGAUGCCCGCAAAGGAUUCGGAAACAAUUAAGAAAUAGAUUAAGGAGUUACUGGAUAGAGGCUAUAUUCGCCCAAGUUCGUCACCUUGGGGAUCACAAGUGCUUCUAGUGGAGAACAAGGAUGGAUCGUUGAGAAUGGUAGUGGAUUAUCGAGGAUUGAAUGAAGUGGAAAUGAAGAACAAGUAUCCACUGCAAAUGAUCAAUGAUUUGUUUGACCAAUUGCAAGGAGCUAAAUUAUUCUUCAAGAUCGAUCUGCGAUCACGAUACCACCAGCUAAAGGUUUGAGAGCAGGAUAUACCUAAGACAGCUUUUACCACAAGGUAUGGGCUAUAUGAGUAUACCGUUAUGUCAUUUGGUCUCACUAACGCACCUGCCUAUUUCAUGAACAUGAUGAACAAGGUGUUUAUGGAGUUUUUGGAUAAGUUCGUCGUGGUGUUCAUUGAUGAUAUUCUGGUCUACUCGAAGAAUGAAGAGGAGCAUAAGGAGCAUUUGUGUUUGGUACAUGGGAAACUCCGAGAACAUCAGUUAUAUGCGAAGUUCAGCAAGUGUUAGUUUUGGUUGAAGGAAGUUGGUUUCCUUGGACAUGUUAUAUCCGAAGAAGGAAUAGCAGUAGACCCCACCAAAGUUGUCACAGUGACUAAUUGGGAACCACCCACGUCAGUUGGAGAGAUCUGGAGUUUUCUUGGACUCGCAGGAUACUACCGGAGAUUCAUUGAGAAUUUCUCUAAGAUUGCAAAGCCCAUGACGGAGUUGUUGAAGGACACCAAGUUCAAAUGGACUGAGGAAUGUGAAGCCGGUUUUCGGGAGUUGAAGAAACGCUUGGUUACAGCCCCACUGCUGAUUCUCCCCGAUCAACGCAAGGAUUAUCAAGUGUAUUGCGACGCUUCUCGUCGAGGACUUGGAGCAGUGUUGAUGCAGGAGGGAAGAGUUGUUUCGGAUGCCUCAGGACAGCUUAAACCCCAUGAGUUGAACUAUGCUACCCAUGAUUUGGAGUUAGCAGCCGUAGUGCAUGUGUUGAAAAAGUGGAGACAUUUUCUCACCGGAAACCACUGUGAGGUGUACACAAAUCACAAGAGUUUGAAGUAUACUUUCACACAGAAGGAGUUGAAUCUUAGACCAAGGAGAUGUUUGGAGCUCAUCAAGGAUUUUGAUAUGAGGUUGCACUAUCAUCUCGGAAAGCCUAAUGUAGUAGUCGAUGCGUUGAGUCGCAAAAGUCAUGUCAAUACACUCAUGACCAGAGGAUUACCUGAGGAGUUAGCAGAAGAUCUUCGCGAGCUAUGGUUGGAAAUAGUUUCGAGAGGUUAUGUACUAGCAUUGGAGAUUCAGUCUACCCUGAUGGAUAAGAUUAGAGAAGCCCAGAAGACUGACAAAGAGAUUGCCAAGAUAAAGGAAAGGAUGAGCAAAGGAAAGGCUAAAGGAUUUCGUGAGGAUGAGCACGAUACCUUAUGGUUGAGGAUCGCGUAUAUGUGCCUAAUGACCCCGAGAUCAGGAAGUUGAUUCUGCAGGAGGCCCACGAUUCACCGUAUUCGAUUCACCCAGGAAAUACCAAGAUGUAUCUGAAUUUGAAGGACAGUUUCUGGUGGACCGGAAUGAAGAACGAUAUUGCGGAGUAUGUAGCAGUUUGUGAUGUAUUUCAGAGAGUGAAGGCGGAGCAUCAGAAGCCAGCAGGUUUGCUACAACCAUUGCAGAUACCCGAAUGGAAGUGGGACAACCUAGGAAUGGAUUUUAUAACGGGAUUGCCCAGGACUCGUUCAGGCUAUGACUCGAUUUGGGUUAUAGUCGAUCGUUUGACGAAGGUAGCUCAUUUCAUCCCAGUAAAGACCGCUUACACCAGUGCUAAGUUGGCAAAGAUAUACAUGACCAGGAUCGUAUGUCUGCAUGGAGUUCCGAGGACCAUUAUAUCAGAUAGAGGAACCCAGUUUACCUCAUAGUUCUAGAAUCAGUUGCAUGAAACGUUGGGUACCAGGCUAGAGUUUAGUACAACCUUUCAGCCUAAGACAUAUGGACAGACCGGGAGAGUCAAUCAGAUUUUAGAGGACUUGUUGAGAGCUUGUGCGCUAGAUUAUGGAUCUAGUUGGGACGACAAUUUGCCGUAUGCAGAGGUAUCUUACAAUAAUAGCUAUCAAGCCAGUUUGAAGUUGGCCCCUAUCGAAGCCUUGUACGGAAGGAGGUGCAGGAUACCGUUGUUAUGGGAUGAAGUUGGAGACCAUCAGUUGUUUGGACGGGAUUUGAUUAAGGAGUCUGAAGAGAAGGUUAAGUUUAUUCGCGAUAGACUCAAGGUAGCCUAGUCCAAGCAGAAGAGUUAUGCGAAUUCAAAACGCAACGAGACAAUUCAUGAAGUUGGAGACAAAGUUUAUCUUUGUGUGUCCCCACUUCGAGGUGUUAAGCAUUUUGGAGUUAAGGGAAAGUUAUCACCAUGUUUUGUGGGACCAUAUAUAGUUUUGGAGCGUAUGGGAGAAGUUGUUUAUAGGUUGGAAUUGCGAGAAGGAUUGUCAGGAGUUCCUGAUGUGUUCCAUGUUUCCCAGUUGAAGAAGUGCCACACAGAUAUGGCCAAUAUUCCUGUAAGAGAUACAGUGCCACUGGAAGCGAUUUAGUUGGAUAGCGAUUUAACUUACGAGGAGAAACCAUUGAAGAUUCUCGAGUUUGCCAGCCGAGUCACACGCAUCAAGGUUAUCAAGUUCUGCAAAGUUCAAUGGAGCCACCAUACCGAGGAUGAAGCCACCUGGGAAUGAGAAGAAGACCUACGGUAGGAUCACCCACACCUAUUCUCUAGCCAACCCGAAUCUCAAGGGCGAGAUUCAUCUGAAGGGGGUAGGUUUGUAACAUCCCGAAUUUUCAAUUUGGAAUGUUAUGCAUUAGAUCAUCAUUGCAUAUCAUAUUUUAUUGCAUUCUUGGUUGAUCCUAGAAAUUCUACGCAACUCAAGGACCCACGGAGAGUGUUGGGGAAUUUUCUAUUUUCAUAAUUGAGUUUUCCCAAAUUUUGAAAAGAGGAUCAUUCGGUUUUAAUUAUUUUCUCUUCAAAUAUUUCUAAAUAUAAAAUAAAACAGAGGGGAUAAAAUGACUUCCCCCAAAGAAAGAAAUAUUGGUGGAAAAAUAUUAAAAUCAAAUAGGAAUUUUAUUCAGAGUUUUAUUGCUAUUUUAUUUCAAUUAGAAAAAAUCCGUUUUUCAAAAUUGCAUUAGAGGCCCCAAUAAAUGUUCACCUUGUUCGUCAUAUUUUUAGAGGACGGGGAAAAUUUAUUUCAAGACUUUUGGAGUCUGUUUGAUAUUUCUUUUUAUUUAUCUUCUCCGCAUCGGAAUUAUUUAAAAAAAAGUCAAACCAUUUAAACGGGCCAUGUCCGACCGGGACUCUAUCCCGUCGGCCUUUAUAAGCCCAGCCGAGGCGCCCCGGAAACCCUCGUCGCCGCGCCGCUCAGCCGCGCCGCCGCCGCGCCGCCCAGCCGCCUCGCCGCCGUGCCGCCUCGCCGCCCCAUCGCCGACCCCGCCCUGAGGUAACCGGGUUUUUUAAAUAAAACCCUAGAUUUAUUUUUAGAUCAGUUUUAUUAUUUUAUUUCCGGUUUAUUUAAUUAGCGUACGUUCGUCUGUACGUUCGUUUUAACGAACGAUGUUCAUCCGUUAGCCGCAGACAGCGAACGUUCGUUCGUUAGCCUGUUUGUCAGUUUUUAUUUUUCCAUGGAUUUUCCACGAUUAUUUCUGAUCGCGAUUUCUGGACUGAUUUUCGUUUUAGUUUAUCUUUUCGCUCGUUUAUCGGAAUCAGGUGGUUCAAACGCCCAGAUCUUUUUCUCGAAACCCUCUUUCUGUUUAACCAACUUGAACAAGAUUUUUGUACUGUAAAAGUUGACUCUAGUCCAAAUUAGUAAACAAACUUGUUUCUUUCGCAGUUUGAGUUUCGCUGCUUCAUUUGUUUUGAUUCUUUUUGCAAACCGGAGUUCUUCAGUUGAACUUUCUGGUUAGAUCUCUUAUCUGAGUUUUCCCCGUGCAUCUAGUUUGAGUGCUUAUGUAUGUUAUUGUUUGUUUACGAUAGAGUACCCGGAGUGCGAAGCGUGCUACUAGUCUCUAGGUUUUGUGGAUCAUCAGCAAGGCAACUAACCCUUUGAUCAUACCUCUUUACUACCAAGUUUUAUUGCAUCAGAUCAACCCUCAACAUUGCAUGGUUAGGAUAUGAUUAACAUGUGGGUUUUGGGAAGUAGAUGAUGAGGUAGAACCUAUUGUCCUGUUUAUUAUCAAAUCUUUGGGAGUUACUUCUACGAUUUGCUUAUUGCUAUGCUAUGCUCGUUGACGUGGAUUGGGUGAGUGUAUCCAUGACAGAUGUGAGUAUUGUUAAUUAAUUGUUCACUUAAGGUGGCUACUUGAAUACACAUCUGGGUGGAUUGCUUGAGGCACCUUGGGGUACCCAGUGGUCGUCAGGGCACCUGGAGAAAUCCAGUGUUGUCCUAGGAUAUCACGGAGUAACCGUGUGAUCAUCCUACGGUCCGGCACACAGGCUCAAACGAAUCAUAAGAUUAUUCAUUCUAGAAACUUCCGUGGGCAGCCACAAGCCAUUAUGGGCUCUGGCAUAGUUGAGUAAGUUGCGUGAAGCUCUUGAAGCGGUAGACUAGCAGAUGUAGUGGGUUGUAGGUGGUACGGUCUACCGAGAGUAGAGAGUUAAUGCUUCAGAAAGACUAUGUCUUGAAUCUCUGACCAUGGAUGUAUUCGAGUCUUGUGGGAAAAGUGUGCAAACCUCUGCAGAGUGUAGAAACUAAUCAUCGUUAGCCGUGUCCCCGAUUAUAGACAUCUUGAGUAUCUGGUUCCUGGAUUAUCAUGUUGAUCUCAUCACUCUAAAUAAAUUUGUUGGGUUUAAUGAUGAUGCUUAAUUGGGAUUGAGNNNNNNNNNNNNNNNNNNNNNNNNNNNNNNNNNNNNNNNNNNNNNNNNNNNNNNNNNNNNNNNNNNNNNNNNNNNNNNNNNNNNNNNNNNNNNNNNNNNNGGUUGCCUUCAUUUUAUGGAAAGCAAUGUAUUUGUGAACAAUGAUAUCAAGAUUUUUCAAGGAAUAAUUUGGAUACCUUUCCUAUAUGUCUUUCCACAAAGUAUGAGCACACUCAAAGUUUUGCAACUGAUUAAUCACGUUUCUUGGUAAACCUCUAAUGAUAAGAUUGACGGUGUUGAGGUUGCCAAGCAUGUUAACUUCAUCAUCAUGAGAAGGAUCUAUGGGGUCAAUGGGAGGUGCAUAGGGAUAUUCAAUAUACUUGCGCAAAUGGAACUCAUCGAAUAUGUCAAGCUUUUCGUCUUUCCAUUGUCUAAAGUACUCCCCAUCAAAAAUAGGCACUCUACAACUAAAAAUCUAAGAACUAGUCACAUUCAUCUUCCUCCAAUGGCUGUUAAACCAAGGUUUUGGUGACCUUGCUCUGAUACCACUUGAGGGAUCGAUAUAAGAUGUCUCUGGGGGGGGGGGAAUAUGCUACUUGUCAAGAUAAAAUUUCUAGCCUAGCCAAAUUUCUAGGAGGGCAGAAAUCUAGCAGUUCUAACAAGUCCACAUACCCUACACAAGCAGUUCUAAGAGUCUAGCAGCGGAAAGUAAAACAUGCAAGUGUAAAGUAGAGGAGAAGGGAAGCAAGAUCAAACGCAUGGGGUUGACACGAUAAUUUUUGGCAUGGUUCCGAUAGGUGGCGCUAUCGUACGUCCAUGUUAGUGGAGACUUCAACCCACGGAGGGUAACGGCUGCGAGAGUCCAUGGAGGGCUCCACCCACGGAGGGUCCACAAAAAAACAGCUUUGUCUAUCCCCCCGAGGCUUCCUUCCACGGAGGACUAGUGUUACUCACGGUAGAUAUUCAUGAAGUAGGAGAUAUCCUUGCCCUUACAAACAUCUUUGUUCAACUCCACAACAUGAAGUAGGAGGCUCCCAAGCGAGACCUAACCAAUCUAGGAGGCACCAUGCUCCAAAAGGUAAUAUAUGUGGUAGAUCAAUGAACUCCUUGCUCUUGUGCUUAUAAAGAUAGUCUCCUCAACACAAAUAUCUCUCUCACAGAAUAUGCAUGGGUAGGAGAGGUUGACUUGGUGGAAAGCAGUUUGGGGAGGCUAGAGAUCAAUAUUCAAAUGAUUGGAUUGGAAUAUUUUGGAAUAUUCAAGGUAAUAUGUUGGUGACACCGAAUUUGUGAAUGUGGAACUUUAUAGAGUGGAUAUGUGGGAACAAUGACCGAGUGUUUUGGUGGCUAACUUUGAGCAUUUGAGCAAUCAGUUCAUUUUACUACCUCACCCGCUUUUAAUAGUAUUGGCUUUCCUAUGGACUCCAAAGUGAUUUCUCACAAGUAUGAAAUGAAGAGUCUUCUAGCUUGAAGCUUGAGCCAAUAUUAUUCCUUUCUUGCAUCCAGGGGCAUCUCCACAUAAACCUUAAGCCAUAGCUCUUCAUGGACUAAACCUGAAAUAUCUAGGUAAAAGUAUUAGUCCAAGAGGCAAUGUAUGUUGUCAUGAAUUAUCAAAAUCACCAAGGGAGUAUCUGUGCUUGCAAUGGUGUUGCAAUACGUUCUUGAUUCUCUUAUAGUGGGUGGCUAGAGUGACACAAGAUUACACCCGAGUAAGGGGGUUGUUGCGUAUGGUAGUAAAUGGGAAUUGAUGUUUACUGCUAUUGUUGGGUUUACCUUAAUGAUUUCUUGGAUUUGCGGAUUCUUGCUAGAGGUCCAAUCAUAAGUUCAUAUGAUCCAAGUAUGAAAACUAUGUUAGCUCAUGCCUCUCCGACAUAUAAAAUUGCAAUAAUGAUUACUGAUCUUGUUAUCAAUUACCUUGGAAAAUUCCGCACACCAUACCAUAAUUAUUCCACCCUUGCUUUUUUUAAUAUAAUAUAAUAUAUGCUAAAUUAUUUAGGCAUCAACUAUUUUUCAUAUUUUAGUUCUCCAAUAUCAUGCAAAGCUAUCCUCUUUAUACCUAGAGCACAAUUUUAUUUCUCCUUUCUAGUUAGAAGCAACUAGUGUGUGUACAUGGAGUUGUAUUAGUCGCAUAUAGGACUUGACAGAAUAUUGAUCUUACUUUUAGCUCCUUGUGGGUUUGACACUCCAUACUUACUACUUCCAUAUUUGGAAAGUGCUAUGAUGAUUCCUUGCACUUGGGGAUCAUCAGUCUCUAGUNNNNNNNNNNNNNNNNNNNNNNNNNNNNNNNNNNNNNNNNNNNNNNNNNNNNNNNNNNNNNNNNNNNNNNNNNNNNNNNNNNNNNNNNNNNNNNNNNNNNCUCACUUUGCAAACAAUCUAUAAGGGAUUGACAACCCCUUCAUAGUGUUGGGUGCAAGCUCUUUGUGUUUGUGCAGGUACUUGUGACUUGACUCGAUCCUCCUACUGGAUUGAUACCUUGGUUCUCAAACUGAGGGAUAUACUUACCGCCGCUGUGCUACAUCACCCUUUCCUCUUCAAGGGAACACCAACGCAAGGCUCCAAGGCCGCGGGGCUACAUCACCCUUUCCUCUUCAAGGGAACACCAACGCAGGGCUCCAAGGCCGCGAGGAAAUCCUUUGCAUAUUUGCCAAGGAAGUCCAUAUAGGCGUAGCCCGUAGCAGAAGGAUUCCUGGCGCCGUUGCUAGGGAAGGUCUUUUGUUGCCGUAGCAGUACCCUUGGAUAGCAAGGAUGGACGUCGUUCUUUUAUCGUUUGUCUUCGUACGUAGUCGGACCCUGCUCUUCAUCAUGAUGACUGUAUAUUGUUGUAUUGAUGUGAUCUUGAUGUAUCUUGUGGCAAGUGUAAGCCAACUCCUUAUACUUAUCUUUUCAGUACAUGUACUUGUAACGAUAUCCAUUCUUGCGAAACGGCGAGAUGUGUUUCAAUUCCUGUCGAGGCCCUCGCGCCAAAAUAAGGAUAGGACCGCAUCUUGGGUUUUACAAUGUGGCACUAAGAUAUAUUGUGAUGUGCUGACAAUUUGGUUAGUGGAACUAAUGCCAGUUUGUAGAGUUUACCUCGGGAUAUUGGUUUCACGGAGAUCCCAUUGGAGUUGUGUGACCACCCAUAAUAGGGGAUUUGUGGUGCGAGAGUUGCAACCUGAAAAGUGCAUGUGGCACUAAGAUAUAUAGUGAUGUGAUGACAAUCUGGUUAGUGGAACUAAUAUCAGUUUGUAGAGUUUAUCUUAGGAUAUUGGUUUCACAGAGAUUCCAUUGGACUUGUGUGACCCCCCACCAUUCAAAAAGGUCAAGUCGUAUUUACCGAUGACUCAAAGGUUUUUGUUGGUUUGAUUUGAGUCGUAUGAAAAUCGCACUAUCAAGAGGGGUCAUCAUGGAUGUGUCAUGUGUGAAUGCCUCCAAACUUAUACACCAGCCAUCCUACACCUACGACCAAGAAUCCACUUAUAAUGUGCUUUUUGAGGUGUCUUGUGAGCUUCAACAAAAACUCUCUCGACACCCGAGGUUCCACGAAACUCUCUUGACAUCCCAUGAUCACGGGGUCCUAGACCCUCGUGUGCACNNNNNNNNNNNNNNNNNNNNNNNNNNNNNNNNNNNNNNNNNNNNNNNNNNNNNNNNNNNNNNNNNNNNNNNNNNNNNNNNNNNNNNNNNNNNNNNNNNNNCCAAACAUUUUGAGUAUGUGCUCACUGACAGAACUGUUCUCCUCCAUCUUACAGCUAAAGAACUUGUCGGAGACUUCAUAUCUCUCGACACGAGCAUGAGCUUGAAAAACUAGCUUCAGCUCCUGGAACAUCUCAUGUGCUCCGUGUUGCUCAAAACGCCUUUGGAGCCCCGUUUCUAAACUGUAUAACAUGCCACACCUAACCAGAGAGUAGUCAUCACUCCGCGUUUGCCAGACGUUCAGAAUGCCCUGGGCUGCCGCGGGAGCGGGAGGGUCACCUAGCGGCGCAUCAAGGGCAUAAGCCUUUUUAUCUGCCUCAAGGAUGAGCUNNUAGCGGCGCAUCAAGGGCAUAAGCCUUUUUAUCUGCUUCAAGGAUGAGCUUCAAGUUGCGAACCCAGUCCGCAUAGUUGCUACCAUCAUCUUUCAGCUUGUUUUUCUCUAGGAAUGUGUUGAAAUUGAGGUUGACGUUGGCCAUCUACAAUAUUUAUAAAGACAAACCUUUUAGACUAAGUUCAUGACAAUUAAGUUCAUUUAAUCAAAUUAAGUAUGAACUCCCACUUAAAUCGACAUCCCUCUAGUCAUCUAAGUGAUACAUGAUCCAUGUUGACUAACCCGUGUCCGAUCAUCACGUGAGACGGACUAGUCACCAUGGUGAGCAACUUCAUGCUGAUCGUAUUCAACCAUACGACUCAUGUUCCACCUUUCGUGCUGAUCGUAUUCAACCAUACGACUCAUGUUCGACCUUUCGGUCUCUUGUAUUUGAGGUCAUGUCUGUACAUGCUAAGCUCGUCGAGUCAACCUAGGUGUUUCGCGUGUGUAAAUCUGGCUUACACCCGUUGUAUGCGAACGUUAGAAUCUAUCACACCCGAUCAUCACGUGGUGCUUCGAGACAACGAACCUUCGCAACGGUGCACACUUAGGGGAAUACGUUCUCGAAAUUUUAAGAGGGAUCAUCUUAUUAUGCUACCGUCGUUCUAAGCAAUAAGAUGAAAAACAUGAUAAACAUCACAAUACAAUCAUAUAGUGUCAUGAUAUGGCCAUUAUCAUCUUUGCUCUUUCGAUCUCCAUCUUCAGGCAUCGCAUGAUCAUCACCAUCACCGGCAUGACACCAUGAUCUCCAUCAUCAUGAUCUCCAUCAUCGUGUCUCCGUGAAGUCGUCACGCCAAUUACUUCUAUCACUACCACUAUGGCUAACCGUUAGCAAUGAAGUAAAAGUAGUAAGCACAUGGCGUUGCAUCUCAUACAAUAAAUUAAGACAACUCCUAUGGCUCCUGCCGGUUGUCAUACUCAUCGACAUGGAAGUCGUGAAACCUAUUACAAUAACAUGAUCAUCUCAUACAUCAUACAUGCAACAUCACAACUUUGGCCAUAUCACAUCACAUGUCAAACCGUGCAAAAACAAGUUAGACGUCCUCUAAUUGUUGUUGCAAGUUUUACGUGGCUGAUUUGUGUUUCUAGCAAGAACGCCUUCUUACCUAUGUGAAAGCCACAACGAUGAUAUGCCAAAGCUAUUUACCCUUCAUAAGGACCCUUUUCAUCAAAUCAAUCCGACUAGAGUAGGAGAGACAGACACCCGCUAGCCACCUUUAUGCACGGUGUGCAUGUCUGUCGGUGGAACCAGUCUCACGUAAGCGUACGUGUAAAGUCGGUCCGGGCCUCUNNNNNNNNNNNNNNNNNNNNNNNNNNNNNNNNNNNNNGGGCCUCUUCAUCCCACAAUACCACCGGUAAAGAAUAAGACUAGUAGCGGCAAGCAAAUUGACAAAUCAUCGCCCACAACUUUUGUGUUCUACUCGUGCAUAGAAUCUACGCAUAGAAAACCUGGCUCGGAUGCCACUGUUGGGUAACGUAGCAUAAAUUGAAAAUUUUCCUACGCAUAUUCAGAUCUUCCUAUGGAGAGACCAGCAACGAGAGAGGGGUAAGAGCAUCUUCAUACCUUUGAAGAUCGCUAAGCGGAAGCGUUGCUAGAACACGGUUGAUGGAGUCGUACUCGCAGCGAUUCCGAUCUAGUGCCGAACUACGGCACCUCCGCGUUCAACACACGUGCAGCCCGGUGACGUCUCCUGCACCUCGAUCCAGCAAGGAGGAGGGAGAGGUUGGGGAAGAACUCCAGCAGCAUGACGGCGUGGUGUCGAUGGAGAGACGAGGUCUCCCGGCAGGGCUUCGCCAAGCACGGGCAGAGAGGAGGAGGAAGAAGGGCAGGGUUGCGCCGAGAGAGAGGCAAAAGUCUAUCUCUCAAUGGCCAAAAGUGCCCGAUAUAUAUAGGGAGAUGGGAGAGGGGGUGCCACCCCUAGGGUUCCCACCCUAGGUGGUGCGGCAGCCCCCCCAGAUGGGAGGUGCGGCGGCCAGAGGGGGGAGGAGGGGGUGGCGCACCACCUGGUGGGCCUUAGGCCCACCUGGCUUAGGGUUUGCCCCUCUUUUCUCUCCCCUGCGCAUUGGGCUGAGUGGGGAGGCGCACCAGCCCACCUAGGUGCUGGUUCCCACCCCCACUUGGCCCAUCUUACCUCCCGGGGUCGUUGCCCCCCUUCGGUGGUCCCCCGGGGCCACCUCCGAUGGUCCGGGUGGUCCCGGUACGUUACCCGUUAUGCCCGAAACACUUCCGGUAUCCGAAACCAUCCGUCCUAUAUAUCAAUCUUUACCUCCGGACCAUUCCGGAGCUCCUCGUGAUGUCCGGAAUCUCAUCCAGGACUCCGAACAACUCUCGGUAACCUCGUAUAACAAUUCCCUAUAACCCUAGCGUCACCGAACCUUAAGUGUGUAGACCCUACGGGUUCGGGAGACAGGCAGACAUGACCGAGACACCUCUCUGGCCAAUAACCAUCAGCGGGGUCUGGAUACCCAUGGUGGCUCCCACUUUCUCCACGAUGAUCUCAUCGAAUGAACCACGAUGUCAAGGAUUCAAUCAAUCCCGUAUACGAUUCCCUCUGUCUGUCGGUAUAGAACUUGCCCGAGAUUCGAUCGUCGGUAUGCCUAUACCUUGUUCAAUCUCGUUACCGGUAAGUCUCUUUACUCGAUGCCCAUACGUUGUUCAAUCUCGUUACCGGUAAGUCUCUUUACUCGUUCCGUAGCACGUCAUCGUGUGACUAACUCCUUAGUCACAUUGAGCUCAUGAUGAUGUUCUACCGAGUGGGCCCAGAGAUACCUCUCCGUCACACGGAGUGACAAAUCCCGAUCUUGAUUCGUACCAACCCAACAGACACUUUCAGAGAUACCCGUAAUGCACCUUUAUAGUCACCCAGUUACGUUGUGACGUUUGAUACACCCAAAGCACUCCUACGGUAUCCGGGAGUUGCACAAUCUCACGGUCGAAGGAAAAGACACUUGACAUUAGAAAAGCUUUAGUAUGCGAACAAUACGAUCUAGUGCUAUGCUUAGGAUUGGGUCUUGUCCAUCACAUCAUUCUCCCAAUGAUGUGAUCCCGUUAUCAAUGACAUNNNNNNNNNNNNNNNNNNNNNNNNNNNNNNNNNNNNNNNNNNNNNNNNNNNNNNNNNNNNNNNNNNNNNNNNNNNNNNNNNNNNNNNNNNNNNNNNNNNNAGUCUACCUCGGUGUACUAAUUUUCAUAGUAGUAAGGAUGAAAUUAGCUGGAAGACAAAUGGUGUGUCACACAAAUCGUAUAUUUCAAGUCAAAGGUAUGAUUCAUAUACAAGGUGUGAUUCUACUGUGAGUACGAUUUGAAACAUGCUAUACCCCGAAGAAAGCUAGAAUGUGAUAUGAAUUCACUACUCAACAAGAAGGAUACCCGCACAAACUUUUUCAUACAAGUAUCCAGCAGUCGGAAUAUUAANNNNNNNNNNNNNNNNNNNNNNNNNNNNNNNNNNNAGCAGUCGGAAUAUUAAAGGGUAUAUAUAUGGUAGUAAGUCAACAUAUCCCAGAUAGAAGCUUCUACUGUAAGCAACCUAGUCUGCCCUCACAAGCUACCGAAGAAGCUUACAAUGCAUGAUUCCUCUACCUUCCUCAGUAUGAUACGUGGAUGAAUUCUCGUGCAAGAUACUCAUGCUUCUUCCGUAAGCUACUGCAAAAGCUUCUGGCAUAAGGUAUUGAGUCUUCCCUAGCAAGACUUUAAGGGGGGAAGCUUCUAAAGUACGGUACUCAAUCUUCUUCAACAAGCUGUCUGACAAAAGCUUUGAGCACAAGCUAUUCAACUCGAUACUCUCGAUGUCUUCCAAUGGAAGCCGUCCAACUUUCCUCAAUACGACACCGCUCCAAGAUAUUACACACUAAUAUGGUAAUAUAUGGCAGUACAUCCCAAGAAUCAAAUCCACAAUAGUUUGGUCAGAAGCUAGAAUCAAUCAGAACACAAGUCUACCUCAGGAAUCAAAUACUUCCAUAAACACUAUGAGCAUGCUACCAAAUUCAUGCAAGUCACUCGCACGAUGAUGAAAUAACGGUAAGAAUCCAACAACCUCACGAGUUACGCAAGAGUAAAAAGUGAGUUAUACACUUCAGGGAGUGAUGCAGGGACCGACCAACUUUGUUGAAAGAUAGCGUGAGAAAAUUAUUUUUGGCAGUGCAUAUCCAGGCCAAACAUGGUGAUAUCGUUAACCCUUAUCACGAGCUUGUAUGAUGGACGACAACAAUGAGCUCUCUACAAGCACAUGUGAAUCUAGCAUAUAUCCUAUGGCCCGAGUCGUGAACAAGGCCAAUGUAUGAUGGCCAAAAUAUUGCAUAUGACAGCACCUCUGGUCACAAGAAUUGAAGAUAUAUAUGUGGACAAGAUCCUUCGGCAAAAGGAUCCACACAAAGAAACCAAUAAUGAAGGAGCGAGACCGUCAAUACAAAUAUGCCACUUGUUGCUUGACCAACAAGGUAGAGAUACCAGGACGGUCAGGUUUAGUAUUGUUUACCAUUGACUAUCCACCUAAGGGGUCUACUCCAUCUGUAAGGACCUCAUAUCAAGAUAACCCGCUCAACCAACAUUAUCUGCUCAAAACUGCUAGUAUCGACUAUCCAAGUCUAUCACGUAAAACAAAAGGCCAGCUCAACAGAUUAAAUUCAAUAACCGUGUUAAAGCAUGACAAAUCCUACUAUCCACAAGAAUAUAGCAACCGAAUAAGAAUGUAGUAUGCUAAACAACAGUCUCGAAGCAUGUGCCCUCGCAUAGGGGAAUCAGUUAAAGGAUAGCCUGCCAAGAACAAGAUGCUUCUGUCAGAACCAACGUCUGUUAAGUCUCGAGAUGCUACUAUUAUAAGGCUAUACUCCUUUCUACUGGUCACAACAAACGACAGUCAGACCUUUGGUAUGAAUCUGGUACUCAAGACAGUGGAAAUAUCCAAGAUGAUGAAGGAAUACGAGUGAGAAGUCACACNNNNNNNNNNNNNNNNNNNNNNNNNNNNNNNNNNNNNNNNNNNNNNNNNNNNNNNNNNNNNNNNNNNNNNNNNNNNNNNNNNNNNNNNNNNNNNNNNNNNCUUGGAUAAAAUAGGUCAUUCCGGAGCAAACUAUGCUUAUUAAGCCAGUUUGGAUCUAGCUAGGCUAAUUAUAGGCCAUUUAAUACCUAAAUUAGAGGGAAUUGGUCAUCUUACAACUACGUAAGCCUUAUUAUGUUAUUUAGGAGAGAACUUAGCUAACUGUAGGUCAUUUUUUAUUAAAUAGGUCAUUUUGGAGCUAACUAAGCUAAUUAUGUCAUUUCGUAGGAUAAUUAGCCAAUUUAGCCUUUCUUAGAUGAGUCUAAGCUACGUAGAAGAAGAGAAAGAGAAGAAGAAGUAAAAGAAGGAGGAGGAGGAGGAGGAGGAGAAGGAGAAGGAAGAGGAGAAGAAGAAGAAAAGAAGAAGGAGAAGGAGAAGGAGGAAGAAGAAGGAGAAGGAGGAGCUCCUUCUCCUUCUUCUUAUCCUCCUCCUUCUCCUUCUUCGUAGGAUAAUUAGCCAAUAUAGCCAUUUUGGAGCUAACUAAGUUAAUUAUGUCAUUUAGAUGGAAGUCUAGUUAUUUUUUAUUAAAACACNNNNNNNNNNNNNNNNNNNNNNNNNNNNNNNNNNNNNNNNNNNNNNNNNNNNNCUAGAAAUAACAUAACAUUAUCGUCAUCACAGCGGUGAAGCACGGUGGCUCUGGCUUGUUUCACCUGGAGAAGGCUGCCAUGGAGAAGGCUCGACUGUAGAAGGGUCGUGCGAUGCUUUUUGGGAGAUAUUCUGCACCAAACAUCAUUUGCAAUGUGUAGUUAGCAUGAGGACACUCUUAAGAUCACUGCACUGAAAUGAAACUCACCAUCCCCGCCACGUUAAUGACUGGCAUCGGCGGAGGGACUUGGUCGCUCUUCUCGCACAUAGACUGUACAUUUGGUUUCGACAAGUCAAACUUUUUAUUUAUUAAUGAAACGGACAUUCAAAUGCAAGAUUUGAAAUAACAUGAAGAAGAAACUUACCACGAAGAGCUCGUAUAUGGCCCUGUUAGACGCAUCAUUCCGUGCCCUCUCCGCCUCCACCAAUGCAGUCGUCCUCUCCUCCAGCUCCCUAAUUUCCUUAUCCUUCUCCGCCAUAGCCGCCUGCAUUGCCUCUCUCUCUUUCUGAAUAGCAGCCUGCAACACAACUCGUUGUUAGCAAUGUAAUCAUAUUGGUUCCAACGCACAACAUAAUGCGGAAAGAUAGUUGAGUCCAUUAAACUAACCUCGAUGGUGAGCUCGAGGUCGUGGAUGACGUGUUAUCUCCGUACAAGAGCUCGUUUGGCAUGCCUUUAUCUACCGGAGAGUGCUAGGACAACGUAUAAGGUCGUCUCCAAUGGAGAUCGAGCCAUGGGGCCUCCCGUUGCCAGCUAUCAUCACCAGCUCUGGAUCAAUAGGCCCCCCGCUCGGGUUAAAGUCCUCCCCUUUCCUCGCCUUCCCGUGAUCUCUGUACUUCACGAGCUUGUGGUGGGAGGCGAUGUUGGUGAAGUUUUCUGGAUGCUUGUGGUGGGAGGAGAUGUUGGUGAAGUUUUCUGGAUGCUCGAGGUCAGACUCAGAGAAUGCCUUGACCUUCUUUUACGAGGCAGUAUGGGCCAUCGCAUACAGGUCGUACAUCUGUGGCACCUCCGUCUUAUUGUGAUGCGACUAAAAGAGAGAGAGAGGAAAUUGUAUUCGUAGAGGGCUCAAGAUAGCAUUAAGAAUGAACUGCAUGAGGCAUGAAGCAAACCACAUACCGAGUUCUCGCCAAAUUGGAUUAAGUUGAUGCUCCCUUGAUGGUGUGGNNNNNNNNNNNNNNNNNNNNNNNNNNNNNNNNNNNNNNNNNNNNNNNNGGCACGCCAACCAUUUUGCCACGCCUCUCCUUGGCGUUGUUGUGGCUGGCCUCCCAUGUUUCGGAGCACCACUGGUCCACCAAUGCCUCCCAACAAUCCAUCUUAUCCACACACCAUCUCGGGGGCACCUAAGUUAAUAAAGAGAAAUUUGAGCGCGUAAGAACCAAAUCAAGGAAACUAACUACAAAGCCUUAAUAAUAUGUAAUUACCUUCAUGUAAUUCUCCUUCUCCAUCUUAGCGUCACGGCACUUCGCCUUGUCAAUCCUAAUACGCCACGUGGCAUAGUAGUCUCGAACACCCUGCACCCGAGCCUCGUGCCGAAAGUUUUGAAGUAGGCGGCGACAUUCGGUUUCGAUAACCUUUGUUGCGUCCUCCUCGUAUCCCUCGUCACACCUGUAGUAGGUCUGCAAACGAGGCAACACCGAUUAGUACAAUAAAUAGCUAUGGUUGAUUUAUAAUUGUGUGAAGGAGAAAUUACCCAGAACUUUCGGAUCACCAUGUCCGCCCUCGUGUCGCACAAAACACCGUCGAUCUCCACCUCCGGCGGGGCCGGGGCACCCAAGUAGUGCUCCCAGGUCAUUCCUACCUCUCGCUCCCGACCGGGAAACGUAACAAACCCUGGGAAGUUUUUACGGCAAAGCGCACCAAGGACGCUGUUGGGUUUGCGGACCCCCUUGGCAACAAUCCAACCCCUACAGUAUGACAAAUUAAAGACAAAACAUUAGAUAUUUGGGAAAACGCGAAGGCAAAAGGUUAAAUAAGAGUAAAUUAACUUACUUGUCCCCAUUUGGCCUAAUCGACCACCUGUGCUCGGGGUUCGCUGGCACGAGCGGGAGCCCCGAACUACCACACUGGUAGACAAUAGCCCCCUCACCUAUCUCCUCGUCGCUACCAGCAUCCGACUAGGUCUCUUANNNNNNNNNNNNNNNNNNNNNNNCAUCCGACUAGGUCUCUUAGGACGUACCCUCAUCCCUUCUUUGCUCCGGAGUCGCCUGGAAUGAAGCCUCUGGGACACGAGUCUCAUGGGUCGAAGGCUCGUCGACCUAAGGCUCGUCGACCCGAGGCUCGUGCACUGGAUAUAGUGUAGCCUCCACCUCAGACGAAUCCACCCUAGAAGUCCUGUGCUUAGGUGAAUCAGCGUGGGGUGGUGGCGAAGACCGUGUAGCCGCCACCUCAGAAGGCGUGGCAGCCACCGCCCUACCUCUCCUGCGGCCACGUGUACCUUUAGUACUACAUAAAUACCAACAUGAGUAAUAAAAUGUAUAUAAAUACCAUUAUGCAUACAACAUGAGUACAACAUAAAUACCAACAUGAAUACAACGUGUACCUUUAGUACCUCUCGGCUUCGCGGGGGGUCGACCUCCUCUCACGGGGGGUGCUCCUUGCAUAGUAGAGAGCAACACUCUCCGAAGAGGCGAGGCAGGAAUGGAAGUACCCAUCCCAUCACCCACCGACGAAGAAGGAGCCGCGGAGUGCUUUCGACCCUUUCCCACCAUCUUUCAACACCUGUCAUGACAAAGGGUAAAUGAAAUUAGUACAAAAUAAAUACCAACAUGAGUAAUAAAAUGUAUAUAAUUUAAGUGUAUCAUCAUCAUAAAUACCAACANNNNNNNNNNNNNNNNNNNNNNNNNNNNNNNNNNNNNNNNNNNNNNNNNNNNNNNNNNNNNNNNNNNNNNNNNNNNNNNNNNNNNNNNNNNNNNNNNNNNACCAAAUUAGGUCUUACUUUUAUGUAGUUUCCUUGGUGAUAUUCAUAUGCCUCUGUUAUACUUUACUUGAUGUUAAGUUAUAUGCUAUGUGACAUGAUAGCAAGUCAGGAAGGCUGAAAGUGGGAGGCCAUGUUGAACGCAACGAUUAUUGAUACACUUAGGCUAUUAGGAAACCAAGAUCUUGAAAUAUAUUUUUCUAAGAAUGAGCACACUAUCCAUACGCAGGACAUUAUGGGAGCCCAUGGACACUUUCUACAGUUGUAAAUUGUCCACGGGUCAUAAUGGUGUUGUACUAUUUGUAUGUAUUGUUUUGCAGGUAUGAGGAGACGUUCCAUGGUAAUGGUAUGAUUUUACCAUUAGGGUGUUUUUUCCCAUGAUGUUCCUUUGGGCCCGCAUGUGUAGGACUUCCCCACUAGUCCUAAAAUUGUGUGGUUGCGAAUGGCUAUGCUCGGACUCGACACUAGCCACGUGUCACUGGUGUGACACAAUUGGAUCCGAUUCAGAGAUAUAUCUCCCCGACUAGGAUGUAGUAACGAAGUACGUAUCAUUUGUUUGAAACUACGUAGCUUAGCCCGUCGUGGGUCACAACAUAAGGUCGGCGAGCAUGUGUUGUCAUGCCAUUCAGAACUUUAGCUGCUAUCACAAGAAAUGGGCGCCCCCCGUGGGUCAGUUCUUGUUGUGAACAACGUGUGUAUGGAGCUUAUAGUGGGUAUGCAUGGUUAAGGAUGACUUGAGCUUUAUGACAGUUCAUAAGAUAACUUCAAUCAUACUCGCCAAAACUUGUCCGCCCUUAAACUUCAUGUUAAUUGCAUGUUCUACUUCAACCAUAAUUAAUGGAAACCCGUGCACCACAUGAGUGACAUGGGGUAAUUCCUUGGGGAGGGUGUCAGGGAGGAUUCGUGGUGGUGGUAUGCUUGACAGUUGGAUAGAAUGCUCAUGUGCACACAACACUUGUGUUGUGAUGCAUGAAAUUUGGGACAUGUGGUCCUUUGGUUCUCAUGUUGUUCCACUAGACAUAAGUUGUAGCAUUGCCUAGUGCUUGCAACUUCACCACUCAUCCUUUCCAUACCUAUCGGUAUUGUUAUUUGUAGUACCCUUGGUAAUGAUACUUUUCAAGUACCCUGGUACUCACCCUUACCAUAAUAACAGGUUGCAUAUAUUGUGAUGGAUAAUGUUAGCUUGGUUGUCCUUCGGACAAUGGUCUUGGCAAGGUAAUGGACGCAUUUGCUUUUAUUUGAGCCUUCUUGACGCAAUUUGUAUUCUUGCUUCUCCGCCUCCCCCAUAUGAAUUGGACUUUGGUCAUAAGACCCUGAAUGUAUCAAAUAUUGCAUAUGUAUGUAUCUUGUUGUAUGCGGAACUUAUAAUNNNNNNNNNNNNNNNNNNNNNNNNNNNNNNNNNNNNNNNNNNNNNNNNNNNNNNNNNNNNNNNNNNNNNNNNNNNNNNNNNNNNNNNNNNNNNNNNNNNNUCACCUACAUGCUACGUCAACAACAUCAUUCGAAGGUAUGUACUCAUUCGAAGUGAUAUGAGGAGAUCGAAAUUCUUAAUCGAAAAAAUGGUAAACCAAUUUCGCGCUUAACGAUGAGUAUGACCUAUGAUCAAGCAUCCUUGCUUGACUCCUCAAGUCAAAUACUCUAAUAUACACUACAGGAAUUAGCUUCUUUGCCAUCUUCCAUCACAGACGGCAAAGAGUAUAUCACAGACUGCAAAGAGUAUAUCACAAACGGCAAAGAAUCUCACUGUCGACAAAAUUUCCGCGUUAGCCUACGACAACAUUGUAGCUUCUUUGUCGUCUGCUUCACCGAAACGGACGGCAAAGCUCUUUGCCGUGAGCUUUCCAUGAGAGCAGUCGGCAAAUAUGUCGAGACGGUAGCCGGCAGGCGUUGCCUCCGUUAGGGACUAACGGAGGCUUUGCCGUCUGCCUCCCCUCUUCUGUGCCGUCUGCCCCCCCCCCUCUUCUUUGCCAUAUGCCUCCCCCUCCUCUGUGCCAUCUGCCUCCCCCCUCUUCUUUGUCGUCUGCAUCCCCCCUCUUCUGUGCGGUCUACCUCCCCCUCUUCUUUGCCGUCAGCCUCCACCUCCUCCCCCCCUCCUCUCUGCCCUCUUCUUUGCCGUCUACCCCCUCCCUUGAAGCAGACGGCAAAGAUACUAUAUGUCCAGCUGCUGCUGCCCAGGUUGCACAGCUGGGUGCCACGUGGCACCUUUGCCGUCGGUCAGCUGAUGGCAAAGGCCUUUGCCAUCAGCUGGCAGACGGCAAAGAGCCUAUAUUGUCACAUUUUUGUUUAUUUUUUCUAUUUCAUAGCACAUAUAUAUAUAAUUCAUAGCACAUCUAUGAUAAAUAGGUCACAACACAUAUAUGAUAUACAUAUAAAGCUCAUCAAUGCCAUUUGUUCAUCAAAGUACAUCACAUAUAUUAAAAGAACCAACACAUACAAAGUUUCGUCCAUAUAUACAUACAUAUAGUUGCACAUAUAUUGUUCAUCCAUAUAUACAUAUACAUAUAGUUCCACAUUGUUCAUCAACUCAAAUAAAAACGGGAACUAAAGCACUCCAAUGCCAGCUUCCAUGCAUGUAGUACAUCCAAUCUGCAAAAUGGGAAUAAGAAACACAGAAGAAGAAGAAGAAGAAGAACAUAUAUAUGACAAAUAAGCUAAAUUGAAGAAGAAAGAGAAGAAGCAAGAAGAGAACAAGGAGAAGAAAAACAAGGAGGAGGAGGAGGAGGAGGAGGGGAAGGAGAAGGACAAGGAGGAGGAGAAGAAGAAAAAAGAAGAAGAGAAGAAGAAGGAGAAGAAGGAGGAGAAGGAGGAGAGAAGAAGAAGGAGAAGAAGGAUGGCUCCUUCUCCUUCUUCUCCUCCUUCUCCUCCUCCUCCUUCUUCUUCUCCUUCUCCUUCUCCUUCUCUUCUUCUUCUCUUCUUUUUCUUCUUCUUCCUUCUUUUCAUUUCUCCUCUUCUUGGAGCUAAAUUAGCUAACUAUGUCUUUUCGCAGCUAAAUGGGCUAAUUAUGUCAUUCUAGCGGAAAACAAGCUAAGUAUAUAAUAUUAAUGAGCUAAUCAAGGUUCUUAUGCCAUUUUGAGCUUAUUAUGUCUUUUAGGAGCUUAAUUAGUCAUUUUAUUGAGCUAACCAAGGUUCUUAUGAUGUUUUUACCUAACUAAGCUAAUUAUGUCAUUUUGGAUGAUAAUUGGCUAAGUAUGUCUUUGUUGGGGAAAAUAAGCUAAAUUGAAGAAGAAGAGGAGAAGAAGGAGGGAAGAAGAAGGAGAAUAAGGAGGGCUCCUUCUCCUCCUUCUCCUUCUUCUCUUCUUCUUCUCCUCCUCCUUCUUCUCCUUCUCCUUCUCUUCUCUUUCUCUUCUUCUUUUUGUUCUUCCUUUUUAUUUCUCCUCUUCUCCUCUUCUUGGAGCUAAAUUAGCUAACUAUGUCAUUAUAGAGGAAAACAAGCUAAGUAUAUAAUAUUAAUGAGCUAACCAAGGUUCUUAUGCCAUUUUGAGCUUAUAAUGUCUUUUUGGAGCUAAAUUGUCUAAUUAUGUCAUUGUUGGGGAAAUUAAGGCAAGGAGAAUAUGAAAGAAGAAAAGAAAGAGGAGGAGGAGAAGAAGAAGAAGAAAUAAAGAAGGAGGAGGAGAAGGACUAGAAGGUCCUUGGCCUUCUCCUCCUUCUCCUCCUCCUCCUCCUCCUCCUUCUCCUUCUUCUNNNNNNNNNNNNNNNNNNNNNNNNNNNNNNNNNNNNNNNNNNNNNNNNNNNNNNNNNNNNNNNNNNNNNNNNNNNNNNNNNNNNNNNNNNNNNNNNNNNNGGAGGAGGAGAAGGACUAGAAGGUCCUUGGCCUUCUCCUCCUUCUUCUCCUCCUCCUCCUCCACCUCCUCCUUCUUCUCCUCCUCCUUCUUCUCCUUCUCCUUCUCUUCUCUUUUUCUUCUUUUUUGUUCUUCCUUUUCAUUUCUCCUCUUCUUGGAGCUAAAUUAGCUAACUAUGUCAUUAUAGAGGAAAACAAGCUAAGUAUAUAAUAUUAAUGAGCUAACCAAGGUUCUUAUGCCAUUUUGAGCUUAUAAUGUCUUUUUGGAGCUAACCAAGGUUUUUAUGCCAUUAAGGAGAAUAAGGAGGAGGAGGAGGAGGAGAAGGACUAGAAGGUCCUUGGCCUUCUCCUCCUUCUCCUCCUCCUCCUCCUCCUUCUCCUUCUUCUCUUCUUCUUCUUUCUUUUCAUUUUUCCUAUUUAUUCUCCUCUUCACCUCUUCUUGGAGCUAAAUUAGCUAAAUAUGUCUUUUUGGAGCUAAAUGGUAUAAUUAUCCCAUUUUAGAGGAAAACAAGCUAAGUAUAUAAUAUUAAUAAGCUAACCAAGCUUCUUAUGCCAUUUUGAGGUUAUUAUGGCAUUUUGGAGCUAAAUGGUCUAAUUAUGUCAUUGUUGGGGAAAUUAAGGAAAGGAUAAUAUGAAAGAGGAGAAGAAAGAGGAGGAGGAGAAGAAGAAGAAGAAAUAAAGAAGAAGGAGGAGAAGGAGGAGGAGGAGGAGAAGGACUAGAAGGUCCUUGGCCUUCUCCUCCUGCUCCUCUUCCUCCUCCUCCUCCUUCUCCUUCUUCUCUUCUUCUUCUUUCUUUUCGANNNNNNNNNNNNNNNNNNNNNNNNNNNNNNNNNNNNNNNNNNNNNNNNNNNNNNNNNNNNNNNNNNNNNNNNNNNNNNNNNNNNNNNNNNNNNNNNNNNNCCGCGUAAUGCCCCGGGGUAACCCUGAGGCCUUCUGGACCCCCUCCCGAGGAGCCUCCAACACUGGCACAGGCGGCGCUACUAAAGGAGAGGCGCCACAAAGAACAAGAGGCCCCGAAGGCUGCUGCACAGCUGCGAGCGUCAGCACCUUCAGAGGCCGGGGAUCCUUGGAGGCCAGUUCUCCAUGCAACGGCGUCCCCACGCUCACCAGAGGAUGCUUCGGGGGCUCGGGGGGCUUGACGACCAAGGCCAGGGAGGCCGCCCAAAGAUCCCCUCCUCCUCCUCCUUACCCGUAGACGGUGAUGUGUCGACAAGGGCAGGCGGGGCAUCGAGAGACGCCUUCGGCCUAGCAACCGUCUUCUUCUUCUUCGGCGUGAGACCAAAUCAGCGUUCGCCCAUGCUCACUGGACUCACCCACGGUCCAUGGAAGCACCGAGACGAGAUCCGCCUCCUUGGAGAGGGCGCAGUCCAGGAGCGGAGAAGUUGGGGCCAGGCCAUGCCCCUCUGGCUUAUACUUGCCGGUGGUGCCAUCGCUGGAUUGUCGAGUAACUAUGCGACACUGGAUCUGGGAGGCAUCGGCCGGAGUCAAAGGCUUAAGAAGAAAGACGAGUGCGGUAAAAGGAAGGCAAUAAGGCACCGAAGCUACAAGCAGGGCACCUAAUAAAGGGGGCAGAGAUAGAGGACAAGGAGGCAUGGACGCCAUCCGCGUGUCGUGCGCCGGCCUGGACCAUAGGUGUUUGAGGGCCCACGACGUCUCAUGCUACCCCUCAAGGCUCCUCCCUGAAGCCAACCCGAGCACACCGCAUGUCCGGCGGCUACUGUCGGCCUUCUGGGACUCGGGGUACCCAGACCUGCCUGCCUGUGGCCCAGGACGGGCCCGCUUCACUAGAGUGACGCAACAAGCCCAGUGAUAACCCACAAGUAUAAGGGAUCACAACAGUUUUCGAGGGUAGAGUAUUCAACCCAAACAUAUUGAUUCGACACAAGGGGAAGCCAAAGAAUAUUCUCAAGUAUUAGCAGUUGAGUUGUCAAUUCAACCACACCUAAAAGACUUAGUAUCUGCCGCAAAUCUAUCAGUAGCAAGGUAGUGUGAUAGCAACAGUAACCAGUAGCAACAAAGUGACAGCAGUGGUGACAGAGUAACAGUAGCAGCAGUAACAACAGUAGCGGCAAAGUAACGUAGCAAGGACCAGUAGGAAAAACUCGUAGGCAUUGGAUCAGUGAUGGAUGAUUAUGCCAGAAGGUAUUCAUCAUGCAACAGUUAUAACACGGNNNNNNNNNNNNNNNNNNNNNNNNNNNNNNNNNNNNNNNNNNNNNNNNNNNNNNNNNNNNNNNNNNNNNNNNNNNNNNNNNNNNNNNNNNNNNNNNNNNNCUUAAUGCUUAAUAUGUAAGCAGCCUCUCCUAGGUAAUUCGUUGAAAAACAUUAGUUCAAGUAAUCCUUUACACUCUCUAAAAACUCCACAUUGUUUUCAAUCAGCAAUAUGUCAUCCACAUAUAACAUUAGAAACGCUACAGAGCUCCCACUCACUUUCUUGUAUAUAGAAGAUUCUCCAACAACUUGUAUAAUCCCAAAUGUCUUGAUCACCUCAUCAAAGCGUUUAUUCCAACUCCGAAAUGCUUGCACCAGUCCAUAAAUAGAUCGCUAGAGCUUGCAUACUUUGCUAGCAUUCUUUGGAUCGACAAAACCUUCGGAUUGCAUCAUAUACAAGUCUUCCUUAAGAAACCAUUAAGGAACCCCAUUUUGACAUCCAUCAUCAUAUACAAGUCUUCCUUAAGAAACCAUUAAGGAACACCAUUUUGACAUCCAUCUGCCAAAUUUCAUAAUCGAAAUAUGCAGCAAUUGCUAACAUGAUUCGGACGGACUUAAGCAUCGCUACCAGUGAUAAUGUAUCAUCGUAGUCAACAACUUGAACUUGUGAAAAUACUUUUUCCACAAGUCGAGCUUUAUAAAAGGUCACAUUACCAACCGCGUCCGUCUUCUUGAAGAUCCAUUUGUUCUGAAUAGCCUUGCAACCUUCAGGUAAUACUUCCAAAGUCCACACUUUGUUUUCAUACAUAGACCCUAUCUCGGAUUUCAUGGCCUCUAGCCAUUUAUUGGAAUCAGGGCCCACCAUUGCUUCUUCAUAAUUCGCAGGCUCGUUGUUGUCUAACAACAUGAUAGAUAAGACAGGAUUUCCGUACCACUCAGGAGCAGUACGUGAUCUGGUCGACCUGCGAGGUCCGAUAGUAACUUGAUCCGAAACUUCAUGAUCACCAUCAUUAGCUUCCUCCUCAACCGGUGUUUCCUCGACACAGAUUUCCCUCUGCCCCGCGCCACCAUCUUGAGCGAGCAGAGGUUCCAAAACCUCAUCAAUUCUUUCGAGAGAAACUAUUUCUCAAGAAAAGCUUCGUUCUUAGAAACAAACACUUUGCCCUCGGAUCUGAGAUAGAAGGUGUACCCAACUGUCUCUUUUGGACAACUAUGAAGACGCACUUUUCCGCUUUGGGUUCCAGCUUUUCAGGCUGAAGCUUUUUGACAUAAGCAUCGCAUCCACAAACUUUAAGAAACGACAACUUUGGCAUCUUGCCACACCAUAGUUCAUAUGGUGUCGUCUCAACGGAUUUUGAUGGUGCCCUAUUUAAAGUGUAUGCAGAUGUCUCUAAUGCAUAACCCCAAAACGAUAAUGGCAAACCGGUAAGAUACAUCAUAGAUCGCACCAUAUCUAACGAAGUAGGAUUACGACGUUUGGACACACCAUUACGAUGUGGUGUUCCAGGCGGUGUCAACUGUGAAACAAUUCCAAAUUGUCUUAAGUGAGCACCAAACUCAAAACUCAGAUAUUCGCCCCCUCGAUCAGAUCAUAGGAACUUAAUCUUCUUGCUACGAUGAUUUUCAACUUCACUUUGAAAUUGCUUGAAGUUUUGAAAUGUUUCAGACUUGUACUUCAUCAAGUAGAUAUAUCCAUAGCUACUCAAAUCAUCAGUGAAGGUGAGAAAAUAACGAUAUCCGUAGCGCGCCUCCACACUCAUUGGCCCGCACACAUCAGUAUGUAUGAUCUCCAACAAGUCACUUGCACGCUCCAUUGUUCCGGAGAAUGGAGUCUUAGUCAUCUUGCCCAUGAGGCAUGGUUCGCACUUGUCAAGUGAUUCGAAAUCAAGUGACUCCAAAAUUCCAUCAGCAUGGAUUUUCUUCAUGCGCUUUACACCAAAAUGACCUAAGCAGCAGUGCCACAAAAAGGUUGCGCUAUCAUUGUUAACUCUACAUCUUUUGGUCUCAAUGUUAUGGAUAUGUGUGUCAUCAUAAUCAAGAUUCAAUAUGAACAAACCCCUCACAUUUGGUGCAUGACCAUAAAAGAUAUUACUCAUAAAAAUAGAACAACCAUUNNNNNNNNNNNNNNNNNNNNNNNNNNNNNNNNNNNNNNNNNNNNNNNNNNNNNNNNNNNNNNNNNNNNNNNNNNNNNNNNNNNNNNNNNNNNNNNNNNNNAACACAGUUUUGAACUCAAAAGGACAUGCAUAUAUUUGAGCCACCCAAUGCAAGGAACAAAAGAUUUGGUGUCCACCGGAAAAAAAUAUUCACAAUUCCAUCGAAUGUUGUUAGUGCUGGAUGCCACAUUUGUAGAAAAAUCAGGCUCAGACUUGUGAGAAGGAGAUAUACCUCACUCAUGAUGAUCUAUCACGCACAGCUAAGCCGAUAGAUAAGAAAUUAAUUGGCGACCGUAUUGUCGGAUUUCGGGCUCCACAAAGCCCUAAGGAUCCGAACANNNNNNNNNNNNNNNNNNNNNNNNNNNNNNNNNNNNNNNNNNNNNNNNNNNNCUAAGGAUCCGAACACUGGGGCGUGUAUGAAGAUCUCCCCUGCUUCGCCUCGCAUGUCUCACUACUCGAUGGAAACAAUGAAGGACUCACUCGAAGGUUCAGGCCGCUGCGAAGCAUAAAACACUACACCUGCUUUGAUGGAUUGCCUCUCUCUGAGGUUGAGGAACGAGAUGGUACACGACUUUUGCGCCUCCAGAGGCCAAGUGGCUAAGCGUGCUGCUCUAGGGUUUCGAUCCCCUCUCUCAACUAUCCUACCCUAUCUAUUUAUAGUGGAGGCCCGGGUCCUCUUCCCUNNNNNNNNNNNNNNNNNNNNNNNNNNNNNNNGGGUCCUCUUCCCUCUUAGCUUUGGCGGGAAGGGAUUCCACAACGACCAAUUUUGAAGGGGAACAUGCUCCCCUAACAAGAGAUGGUCUUCACCUGCAAAGUAAUUGUCCACCCCAUAGAGACCGGCUCGUGGAUGACGUUUGCCCUACUGGCGGGAGACUGCGGCUUUGUUGCACCAGAAGAUAAACCUUUGGGGGAUGCCUUUGGGAAGCAUGUACGCCCCACCUCCUUUGCACCAAAGGGGAAACUAUCUCGUCCUGCCAUAUGCUGCUCGCCUAUCCUUCCCUGGUGUCACCCUUGACUGCCGAGGACCGGCCCUGCCUCGUAAUAUCCACCAAUCCGGACGGGUCCUGAAGAGGCCCCCCUACGGGUCUUGACGCUGCUCCUCCUCAUGAGGCUUAGCUCCUCACGAGGGCCUGCCCUUAAGCCGUGCUGGGUGAUACGUCUCCAUCGUAUCUACUUUUCCAAACUCUUUUUCCCUUGUUUUGCACUCUAGUUUGCAUGAUUUGAAUGGAACUAACCCGGACUAAUGUUGUUUUCAGUAGAAUUGUCAUGGUGUUGUUUUUGCGCAGAAAUAAAAGUUCCCGGAAUGACCUGAAAAUUUACGAAGAAUUUUUUGUGGAAUAUAUAAAAAAUACUAGCGCAAGAAUCAACCGAAGAAGUGGAGCGUGGAGCCCACAAGCCCACCAGGCGUGCCCCCCUGGCCGCGCCUAACAGGUUUGUGGGGCCCACAUUGCUCCACCGCCUCCCAUUCCACCNNNNNNNNNNNNNNNNNNNNNNNNNNNNNNNNNNNNNNNNNNNNNNNNNNNNNNNNNNNNNNNNNNNNNNNNNNNNNNNNNNNNNNNNNNNNNNNNNNNNGAGCACAUACUCAAAAUGUUUGGGUUACACGGUCGUCUGACUUCACUUGGAGUCGAACUUCCGGAUGAUGCUAUAAUUGACUGAAUCCUCCAGUCUCUCCCAUCAAGCUACAAAGGCUUUGUGCUUAACUACAACAUGCAAGGGAUGGAGAAGACCAUUCCCGAGUUGUACUCGAUACUCAAGUCUGCAGAAGUAGAAAUCAAGAAAGAGCAUCAAGUGUUGAUGGUCAACAAGACCACUAGUUUCAAGAAGGGCAAGGGUAAGAAGAACUUCAAGAAAGACGGCAAAGCUGUUGCUGCGCCCGGUAAGCCAGAUGCUGAGAAGAAGAAAAAGAAUGGACCCAAGCCUGAGACUGAGUGCUUCUAUUGCAAGGGAAAAGGUCACUGGAAGCGGAACUGCCCCAAAUACUUAGCGGACAAGAAGGCCGGCAACGUUAAAGGUAUAUGUGAUAUACAUGUUAUUGAUGUGUACCUUACCAGCGCUCUUAGUAGCUCCUGGGUAUUUGAUACCGGUGUUGUUGCUCACAUUUGCAACUCAAAGCAGGAACUGCGGAAUAAGCGGAGACUGGCCAAGGACGAGGUGACGAUGCGCGUCGGGAAUUGUUCAAAGGUCGAUGUGAUCGCCGUCGGCACGCUACCUCUACAUCUACAAUCGGGAUUAGUUUUGAACCUUAAUAAUUGUUAUUUAGUACCAGCUUUAAGCAUGAACAUUGUAUCAGGGUCUUGCUUAAUGCGAGACGGCUACUCAUUUAAGUGAGAGAAUAAUGGUUGUUCUAUUUAUAUGAGUGAUAUGUUUUAUGGUCAUGCUCCGCUGGUAAAUGGUUUAUUCUUGAUGAAUCUCGAUCGUGAUGUUACACAUAUUCAUAGUGUGAGUACCAGAAAAUGUAAAGUUGAUAAUGAUAGUCCCACAUACUUGUGGCACUGCCGCCUUGGUCAUAUCAGCGUUAAGCGCAUGAAGAAGCUCCAUACAGAUGGACUAUUAGAGUCUCUUGACUUUGAAUCAUUUGACACAUGCGAACCGUGCCUCAUGGGCAAGAUGACUAAGACUCCAUUCUCAGGAAUAAUGGAGAGAGCAACCGACUUAUUGGAAAUAAUACAUACCGAUGUGUGUGGUCCAAUGAACGUUGAAGCUCGCGGUGGUUAUCGUUAUGUUCUCACUCUCACCGAUGAUUUGAGUAGGUAUGGGUAUAUCUACUUGAUGAAGCACAAAUCUGAGACGUUUGAAAAGUUCAAGGAAUUUCAGAGUGAGGUUGAGAAUCAACGUGACAGAAAAAUUAAAUGUCUACGAUCUGAUCGUGGAGGAGAAUAUUUGAGUCACGAGUUUGGCACACACCUAAGGAAGUGUGGAAUCGUUUCACAACUGACGCCNNNNNNNNNNNNNNNNNNNNNNNNNNNNNNNNNNNNNNNNNNNNNNNNNNNNNNNNNNNNNNNNNNNNNNNNNNNNNNNNNNNNNNNNNNNNNNNNNNNNCAUUGUGAUCUAUUUAUUCACACAUGUAUUACUGUUUCCUGUUAAUACAAUUAUAGCAUGAACAAUAGACGAUUAUCAUGAACAAGGAAAUAUGAUAAUAACCAUUUUAUUAUUGCCGCUAGGGCAUAUUUCCAACAGUCUCCCACUUGCACUAGAGUCGAUAAUCUAGUUACAUUGUGAUGUAUCGAACACCCAUAGCAUUAUGGUGUUGAUCAUGUUUCGCUCGUGGAAGAUGUUUAGUCAACGGGUCUGCAAUAUUCAGAUCCGUGUGUACUUUACAAAUAUCUAUCACUCCACUCUGGACAUGGUCCUGGAUGGAGUUGUAGCGGCAUUUGAUGUGCUUUGUCUUCCGGUGAAAUCUGGGUUCCUUGGCUAUGGCAAUGGCCCCAGUGUUAUCACAGAAGAGUGUCAUUGGACCCGACGCGCUUGGAACCACUCCAAGGUCGGUGAUGAGCUCCUUCAUCCAAAUUCCUUCAUGAGCUACUUUUGAAGAAGCUAUGUACUCCGCUUCACAUGUAGAUGCUGCCACGACUUCUUGCUUGCUACUGCACCAGCUCACCGCCCCACCAUUCAACACAUAUACGUAUCCGGUCUGUGACUUAGAGUCAUCCGGAUCUGUGUCGAAGCUAGCGUCGACGUAACCCUUUACGACGAGCUCUUCGUCACCUCCAUAAACGAGAAACAUUUCCUUAGUCCUUUUCAUGUACUUAAGGAUAUUCUUGACCGCUGUCCGGUGCUCCAUACCGGGAUCACUUUGGUACCUCCCUACCAAGCUUAUGGCAAGGUUUAUAUGAGGUUGGGUACACAGCAUGGCAUACAUUAGAGAGCCCACGGCUGAUGCGUAGGGGACAUAACUCAUCUUCUCUCUAUCUGCUGCCGUGGUCGGCGACUGAGUCUUAGUCAAUCUCAUAGCUUGCAAAACUGGCAAGAACCCUUUCUUUGAGUUUUCCAUAUUGAACUUCAAUAUCUUGUCAAGGUAUGUACUUUGCGAAAGACCUAUGAGGCAUCUCGAUCUAUCUCUAUAGAUCUUGAUGCCUAAUAUGUAUGCAGCUUCUCCAAGGUCCUUCAUUGAAAAACUCUUGUUCAAAUAGGCCUUUAUGCUCUCCAACAUCUCUAUAUUAUUCCCCAUCAAUAAUAUGUCAUCCACAUACAGUAUGAGGAAAGCUACAGAGUUCCCACUCACUUUCUUGUACAGUCAGGCUUCUCCGUAAACCUGUAUGAACCCAAACGCUUUAAUCACCUCAUUAAAGCGAAUGUUCCAACUCCGAGAUGCUUGCACCAGCCCAUAGAUGGAGCGCUGGAGCUUGCACACUUUGCUAGCACCCUUAGGGUNNNNNNNNNNNNNNNNNNNNNNNNNNNUUGCUAGCACCCUUAGGGUCGACAAAACCUUCUGGUUGCGUCAUAUACAACUCUUCCUUAAGGUUCCCGUUAAGGAACACUGUUUUGACGUCCAUUUGCCAAAUUUCAUAAUCAUAAAAGGUGACAAUUGCUAACAUGAUUCGGACUGAUUUCAGCUUCGCUACGGGAGAGAAAGUCUCUUCGUAGUCAACUCCUUGAAUUUGUCGAAAACCCUUUGCGACAAGUUGAGCUUUGUAAAUGGUUACAUUACCGUUUGCAUCAGUCUUCUUCUUGAAGAUCCAUUUACUUUCUAUGGCUCGCCGCUCAUUGGGCAAUUCCACCAAAGUCCAUACUUUGUUCUCACACAUGGAUCCUAUCUCGGAUUUCAUAGCCUCAAGCCAUUUGUUGGAAUCCGGGCCCGCCAUCGCUUCUUCAUAGUUCGAAGGUUCACCGUUGUCUAACAACAUGAUUUCCAUCACAGGGCUGCCGUACCACUCUGGUGCGGAGCGUGCCCUUGUGGACCUUCGCGGUUCAGUAGUAACUUGAUCCGAAGCUUCAUGAUCAUCAUCAUUAACUUCCUCUUCAGUUGGUGUAGGCGCCACAGGAACAACUUCCCGCGUUGAGCUACUAUCCUGUUCGAGAGGGGGUGUAAUUACCUCAUCAAGUUCUACCUUCCUCCCACUUACUUCUUUCGAGAGAAACUCUUUCUCUAGAAAGGAUCCGUUCUUGGCAACAAAGGUUUUACCUUCGGAUCUAAGNNNNNNNNNNNNNNNNNNNNNNNNNNNNNNNNNNNNNNNNNNNNNNNNNNNNNNNNNNNNNNNNNNNNNNNNNNNNNNNNNNNNNNNNNNNNNNNNNNNNGUGAUAGUGAUGAUGAUGAUGCAUUUAUUGAUGAUGAUUAUUAGUUUGUAAGAUUCACAACUUAAAUUAUAUAUAUUUUAAUCUUUAUUAUUCAUGUACAUAUUAUUAUUCAUGUCAGUUAUUCAAUUUUUUUAUGUUGUACUAAUUUCUUUUAAUCUUUAUCAUGGCAGGUCACCUGGUGUUGAAAGAUGGUGGGCGCUGGUCCAGAGCGCUCGACGGGUUCUUCCCAGCCGCCCCGCACGAGGGGUGGUACUUCCCUUCCACCCCUAUGUCUCCGUAGAGCCUUGGCAGACAGUCUGUCGACACCACCCGUGGGUUCUUCUUCGUCGGCGGCAUUGCCCACUGGGAGAGGUGCUCUUCGGGUAGGGAAGAAGGGGAAGGGUACAUGGAGAGGUGGUGGCCACGGAAGAUCCAGGAGGACUGUUGAGCCGUCCUCGCCACCACCACCAGCUCAUUCACCCGAGCAUACGACUACUAUGGUCGACCCGUUUGCGGAAGAGGCUACGGGGACUCCGGUCUAGGAGCGUGGUGUUGACGGGCAUUCGUCCCAUGAGACUCCGGUCCAGGAUCAGCCUCGGGUCGAGGUGCAUUCGUCCCACGAGACUACGUUUCCGGAGGCUUCACCCGACGUGGAGAGGCCCGGAUGGGAUACCUGGCCGGAUCGGACCGAGUUGCCGGAUUGGACCGAGGGUCCGAGUGGCUCAGGGGGCUGGGAUGGCGGGGAUGAGUUUACGGAUAGUGAGGGCGAUGUGCAGGUGGACGGGGCCACCGUGUACAAGAGUGGUAGUACACGUCUCCCGGUCGUGCCGGCUACCCGCGAGCAGAGGCCGGUGAUUAAACCUGAAGGAGAUAGGUAAGUACAUUUACUCUUUUUUAGCUUUUGCCUUCAAGUUUGUUCAAAUAUCUAAUGUGUUGACCUUAUCAUACUGCAGGGGAUGGGUACACCCUAUUGGAGUCCGCAGGCCGAACUCCGUCCUUGGUGUGCUUUGCCGGACAAAUUUCCCGGGGUUUGUCACGUUGCUUGGUGAGGGUCAGGUUCCUACACUAGGAUUUUCCUGGGAGCACUACCAGGCUGCGCAAGCCCCGCCGGAAGAGAUUAUAGAUGGUGUCUUGUGACACACGAGGGUCGAGAUGGUGAUCAAGAGCUUUUGGGUAAAUUAUCCUUUUACACAAUCUAAAAUUAACAAGAUAAGUAAUUAUUGUACUAAUCGGUGUUUUCACGUUUGAUUGCAGACCUUCUAUAGGUGUGAGGAUGGAUAUGAGGAGGAGGCGGCCAAGGUUCUCGAGGCCGAGUGUAGGCGGUUACUACAGAACUUAUGCCACGAGGCUCGGCCGCAGGCUAUUCGAGACUACUAUGCCACGCGUGGUAUUAAGAAGCAGAAGAAGGAUUGCCGCGGAAAGUUUCUGAAGAAGGAGCAAUACAUGAAGGUAAUUACCUAUUCUUAAGUCCUUAUACGUAGUUUUCUUGAUUUCAUUCAUAGGCGUAGCGCUCAAAAUUCUUUCUAAUAACUUACAGGUGCCCCCGAGAUGGUGUGCGGAUAAGAUGGAUUGUUGGGAGGCGUUGGUUGAUGAGUGGUGCACAGGCAGCUGGCGAGCCGUCCACGAGAAUGCGAAGGAUCGGCAUAGCCAAAUGGUUGGUGUGCCACACCAUCAAGGCAACGCCAACUUACUUCAGUUUGGACGAAACUGGGUAUGUGAUUUGCUUCAUGAUUCAUGCAAUUCGUUCUUCAUGCUAGUGUUUUGAUCCUCUCUUUUAGGCGCAUCACAAUAAUACGGAGAUGCCACACUUGUACGACCUUUAUGGCAUGGCCCAUACUGCCUCGUACAAGAAGGCGAAGGCAUUCUCUGAGUCUGACCUGGAUGAUCCCAAUAACUUCACCAACAUAUCAUCCCACCACAAGCUCGUGGCAUACAGGGACGCGGGGAAGGCUAUGAAAGGGGAUGACUUUAACCCUAGCCAGGAACCUUUGGAUCCAAAGCUGGUGAUGAUAUCUGGUGGCAGGAGGCCCCAUGGCUCGAUAGCCAUUGGAGCUGGGAUAAUACGUUGUCCACUCACUCUCCCGGAGAUCAAGGCGCGCCAGUCGAGCAGUUGUCCUGAGAUAACGCGUCGUCCACGGCCAGUCGAUCUUGCCAUCGAGGUUAGUUGUACGGACUAAGAACACUUUCAUCCAUUUCAUUAUGUGUGUCACCAUAGAUCAUUACUGUGGUAACUAGGAGUGGUGUUUCAGGCUGCUCUUCGGAAAGAGAGGUUGGCAAACUAGGCUGCUCUUGAGAAAGAGAGAUUGGCAAACCAGGCUGCUCUUGAGAAAGAGAGAUUGGCAAGCCAGGCUGCUCUUGAUGAGAGGGACCAGACCACGACACGAUUGAUUGAGGAGGAGAGGUCCCGAAAUGAGGCGGGUCAACGGGCCGUGUAUGAGCUUUUUGUGGUAAGUUUUUUUUCACAUUAGCCAAAUCAUGUGUGUAAUGUCUGUUUCAUUACUAACUAAUACGACCCACUCUUCACGGUCAGUGCGAGAUGAGCGGUCAAGUCCCUCCGUCGAUGCCCGUCUUCUCUUCGAUUAGCAUGGUGAGUUUUAUUAUAAACUAGUAUUAAUAAUUUAGUGUCAUCAUGCUAACUCAGACAUUGCAAAAUAUCUAUUCUGCAGAAUAACUCCCGAGCGGCAUCGCCCGACCCUUCUCCACGUAUUUCUCCUCCUUGAUGACCACUACGGUAAGUUUAUAUUCUCCUCUUUCAUAUAAUGACAUAGUUAGCUAAUUUAGCUCCAAGAAGAGGAGAAGAGGAGGAGGAGGAGAAGGAGGAGAAGGCCAAGGACCUUCUAGUCCUUCUCCUCGUCCUCCUCCUUCUCCUCCUUCUUCUUUAUUUCUUCUUCUCCUCCUCCUCCUCCUCUUUCUUCUCCUCUUUCAUAUUCUCCUUGCCUUAAUUUCCCCAACAAUGACAUAAUUAGCCCAUUUAGCUCCAAAAUGCCAUAAUAACCUCAAAAUGGCAUAAGAACCUUGGUUAGCUCAUUAAUAUUAUAUACUUAGCUUGUUUUCCUCUAAAAUGGGACAAUUAGCCCAUUUAGCUCCAAAAAUACAUAGUUAGCUAAUUUAGCUCCAAGAAGAGGAGAAGAGGAGAAGAAAUAGGAAAAAUGAAAAGAAAGAAGAAGAAGAAGAAGAGAAGAAGGAGAAGGAGGAGGAGGAGGAGGAGAAGAAGAAUAAAUAAAGAAGAAGGAGGAGAAGGCCAAGGACCUUCUAGUCCUUCUCCUCCUCCUCCUCCUUCUCCUCCUUCUUCUUUAUUUCUUAUUCUUCUUCUCCUCCUCCUCUUUAUUCUCGUCUUUCAUAUUAUCCUUGCCUUAAUUUCCCUAACAAUGACAUAAUUAGCCAAUUUAGCUCCAAAAAGACAUUAUAAGCUCAAAAUGGCAUAAGAACAUUGGUUAGCACAUUAAUAUUAUAUACUUAGCUUGUUUUCCUCUAUAAUGACAUAGUUAGCUAAUUUAGCUCCAAGAAGAGGAGAAGAGGAGAAAUGAAAAGGAAGAACAAAAAGAAGAAGAGAAAGAGAAGAGAAGGAGAAGGAGAAGAAGGAGGAGGAGAAGAAGGAGAAGGAGGAGGAGGAGGAGGAGGAGGNNNNNNNNNNNNNNNNNNNNNNNNNNNNNNNNNNNNNNNNNNNNNNNNNNNNNNNNNNNNNNNNNNNNNNNNNNNNNNNNNNNNNNNNNNNNNNNNNNNNGAGAAGGCCAAUGUGGCCGUCGAACGCUGCAAAGAGGUGGAAUCCCGCCUGAGCGCCCUCCAAGGGGAACAUGCCAAGCUAGUCGAGCAACGCCGCUCGAAGGAGGAGGAACUCAAGGCCUGUGAGGCCAAGCUUGCCGCCCGGGAGAGGGAGCUGUCCCGGGAGACGAACCGCCUGGGAGCAGAACAGGAGCUCUUGGUUGAGCGGGAGAAGGAUGCCACNNNNNNNNNNNNNNNNNNNNNNNNNNNNNGCGGGAGAAGGAUGCCACCACGAAGGAGGCUCUCCUUGAGGCCUGGGAGAAGGCCCUCGCCGCAGCCAAGGAAAAGAAGGCCUCCGAGCUGGCAUGCUUCCCCGACGUCGAGCUUGUGCUUCGCAAGGCGAUCCACUACCUCUGUCGGGGUGGGUUUGACGAGCCUCUGGCUACCCCGGAGGAAAGCAUUUCCAUGCUCGCGAAUGGGCUCGUCACAGCGCUGCGGGAUGCCGUCAUGCAGAUCGACAAGUCCUUGGCGAGUGAAUGCCACGACCUCUUCUUCGCGGUCGUGACUCGUGUCUUCAGCCACGUUCAUCUUCGCGACCCCGAAUUUGAUCUAAGCUUCGUGAUCAUGUGGUUCCUCCCAGGGCCCGCGACCGCGUCGUGGAGUCGGUGAAGGGUCUUGUGGAGGCGUUGGUGAGGAAGUUCGCCCGCGUCGUGCCCCCCUCGUCACCAGGUACCGCUAGAGGCGACGAUAGGGAAGACAAUGCCUCCGAUGUCGACGACCAGCCCCCUGUGGAGGGGGUGACCGACGGCGGCUCCUCUUGAUCUACUGCACUUGUUAUUUCUCUGCAAUGCACAUCGUGCCUCGUGGAGGCGUCAAACUUAUUUGUGUUUUUUAUGAACUGGGUCAUGGUCUGUAAUAAUUGAAUGCUCGAUUGUUUUCCUCGGCUUGUUCCUAUCAUUUUUUCCGUGUUUCUCUAUGUCGGCAAGGCCGGCCCUGCUCGUACCUUCCCGUGAUUGGACUGACCGGAAACCAAGGACAACCCAAAGGGGGAAGGGGCUAUGAGCGCAGUUAGGCUCCUGAGUCGCGAUGCUCAGGAAUCCCCCUUGACGCGCAAGCUCCUCUCAUGAGGAGGACGUGGUGAAGAUUCCGAAACUUAGAACAUUUUCAGCACUCUGUGUCGGGAGAGCCUGCCCCGCGCAUACCUCGCCGCGAUUGAACCAACCAGAAACCAAGGACGGCCCAAAGGGGGAGUGGCUAUGAGCGUAGUUAGGCCCGUGAGUCGUGAUGCUCAUGGGUGCCCCUUGACGUGCGAGCGACUCCGAUCCUCUUCGUAAGAAACCGAUGGUGUGAGACUCUCGAACUCCUUCAACACUCUGCAUCUGCAGGGCCCGCCCCACGCGUACCUCCCCGCAGUUGAGCCGACCUGAAAGGGGUGGCUAAAAAGGGAAAGGGGCUACGGGCACAGUUCAGGCUCCUGAGUCGCGAUGCUCAGGAGUCACACUUGACAUGCGAGUGACUCCAGCAUUCUUCCUAAGGGAUUUAAAGCGACUUGUUGAGCGCAUUGGGCUAUGUGUCCGCAGGGCCCGCCCCCUGCGUACCUUCCUGCGAUUGAACCGUCCAAGGACGGCCCAAAGAGCGAAGGGGCUACGAGCAUAGUUAGGCCGCUGAGUCGCGAUGCUCAGGGGUCCCCCUUGAUGUGCGAGCGGCUCCGUACCUUCAGUUGUUUGCCCACACGCUGGGUGUGGGCGGAGCUGUGGAUGUAUUGCGCUGAUCCCCUCGAUGGCCUUGGGUGUAGCCAUUGGCGGGCUGUGUUAAUGCCGGUUGAGGGCGUAGUCAUCGGCGGACUAUAUUGGUUGCCCAUGUAUGUACCCAGCGCGGAGCAUAGGUCUUCUACUAGGCAUAGGGUGGACCCCUCCGUGUCCUCGGGGGGCCCUGGGCGUAUAUAGCCUCGGCUCGUUAUUACGUUAGAGUGUCACGGUGGGGGUGUAUAUGGGAGGUCGCGAGAAAGAUAGGGCCUUGCAAGUGUCCCUACCCCGAGGCAUCGGGGCCUGAUCUUCUCCCCAGCGUGGAGCGUAGGUCUGCCACUCGGUAUAGGAUGGACCCCAACNNNNNNNNNNNNNNNNNNNNNNNNNNNNNNNNGACCCCAACGUGUCCUCGGGAGGCCUUGGGCGUAUACAGCCUCGGCUCGUUAUUACGUGAGAGAGUCACAGUGGGGUGUAUAUGGGAGGUCGUGAGGAUGCUAUGGCCUCGCGAGUGUCCCUACCCCCGAGUCAUUGGUGGACUGAAUUGACUUGGUUUGGGUCAUUGGCAAACCCUGCUCACUUCUUCUUUAGGAGAGGGGCUCCGCACCUGCACGAACAAACUUUGACCGGAGCCCCCAAGCGGGGGCCGAUCGCCCGACAAUAUAACCAAGGCGGAACGUUAGGAUGCCAAGCAGGUGCAAUUGAACAACCAAAUGAUGCAUAAACGAAAGUAGUAGCUGGGGAAAGUACAGAGCUCGGGGAGGCCGCAUGGCCCUGGGGUUACCUAUGGACUGGGCGAACCGAAAGGUUACCUGGCAGCGGCCAGCAAAAAGUUACCUAGCGGCCGAGCUGCUGAAGUGCCGGAGGCUCUGUUGUCGCUUGAUUUCCUGGAUCCGCAGUCGCGACCCUCACGGGUCCAUCGCCCCCCGAUCUAGGGGCCUUCGCUUGGCCCGAGCAUCUUCUCCUCCUCCUCGUGGCGCCCAAGCACGCAAGGGAGGAGAAUGGCCUGCUGGAGCCUCUGGUACGUGGCAGCCGCGUUCCUCAGCCCGGAGAGCAUGAAGGCUUCAGUGCUCGGGUACUCCCACCAGUAGCCAGUCUGCGUAGGACAGAAGGGGUCGUGCGCCAUGGCUGCGUUGGUUGCAGACGCGUUAAUGCAGAUGCGGGGCCGGUCAACUGUGCAGACAGCGGCGACUGCGAUGGGUGGUGCGGGGCAGUUACCGUGUCGCAUGGUCUGGGCCUCGAGAAGUUCUCGGAUUUCUUUGAUGACGGACUCGCGAGAUCUGGUCGAACGUGCUCCGGAGUGCGCCCUCGGGAUGUGCUCAGACACCGCCUCUGUCUCACUGAUCAGGCUAGGGGCCUCCCCGGUGGGAGCCCCCUAGCCCUGAUCUAAGAGGGACGCCGAGCGCACAUCCCUAUGCGAUGGGGGGCAGGGAUCCGUCCCCGAGCAUCGAACACAAAGCCCCGAGGCACUCCGCAGGGAGGAACUCCUUCUUGAGCGGGGCUUCGUGAGGCAGCUCGUCAUCUUCAUCAUUUGAGCGUUCUGACGUUGCCGCACGGUACGCUCUCUCCAGUGCGUAGACAUCAUCCUUCUCAUGACAGGGUAUGGUGAUGUCACCACCGCUUCCCGGCAUCUUGAGGACAUUCUAUCCAUGGUGGACCACGACCAUGAACUUGGCAAGCACUGGUUACCCGAGGAUGGCAUUGUAUGGCAGAUGGAUGUGCGCGACGUCGAAGAGGAUGACCUUGGUGUGAUAGUUGUGGCGCUCGCCAAAGGUGACGGGCAGGUGCACUUGCCCAAUGGGUACGGUGGAUCCCUUUGUUACCCCUGAGAAGGGCUUGGUCGGCAUGAGUUGCUCAUACGGCAGCUGGAGCUUCUCGAAGGUCUCGACUGAGAGGAUGUUGAGCCCAGCUCCACUCUCAAUGAGAGUCUUGGUGACGAGGACGUUGCUGAUAGUUGGGGUGCACAUCAUUGGGAGCUUGCCAGCCAGGAACGAGCACCUGAGCUGGUCGCUUGGGUCGAAAGCAAUGGUGGUCUGGGACUAGUUGAGGGGACGUAUCGCUUCAGGCCUCGGGAGGGCGACAUUCACCUCCUGGGACAACUGCAUGAAGGCGUGGUUGGAUGCUGGGGUCUGGGCACCACCCAGGAUGGAAGCUAGUGCCCUGGCAUUCUGGAAGCCCCCAGCCCUGUCGUCUUGCUUGUCUUCGUUCCUCCUCCUGGGCUGCAGGGGCAGCGAGGGCAGCCUGGUCUCUCGAGGGCGAGCCUCACGAGGUUGGCCGCUUCGCUGGCCCUCCUGAGGAUUAUCACGCCAGCGGUCCUCCUGAGGUUGGCCAUGCCAGGGGUCCUCCUGAGGCUUCUCAUGCCACCCCUGACGUGGCUCACGAUCAUCCCAGCGGACCCCAUUGCGGCCUCCUCCAUGCAGGGUUUCUGUAGAACUGUCCGGGAUCCUGUUGAAGUGUUUGGCAUGAACCAAACGUAGUUCUUGACAUUCAGAGGUGUCAUGGCCGAUGGUGCAAUGGAAGAUGCACGUCGGCCCUCCUCCAGAGGGGCGCUCUCCCCCCUCGAGUAUGCUUCGUUUCAGGCUCGGCGGCUAGUACCGCUGGGGCCUUGCGCUUCAGCUCCUUGGCUUUGGCCUUCUUCUCUUCUGGGUCCGCCGCCUGGGGCCCAAGGAGCGAUAGGCGUCCUUCUUCCGCCUUGGCGCACUUGCUUGCCAAGUUGAACAUCUCCAAUGCGGUGCUCAUUUCAUCGUUCAUGGCAAGCUCUUCCUUCAUCUUGAGGUCGGUGACUCCGUUGGAUAAAGACGAUACGACAGCCUCAUCCGACGCCUUAGGGAUCAUGAGGCGCAUGACAGUCAAACAUUGUAUGAACUUGUGCAGGUUAUCCACCUCUUGCUGCUUGACGCGCCGCAGGUCGAUCACGGUGGGAGCGCGGUCGCGGGUGCCCUGGAAGUUGGCGAUGAAGCGCUCACGCAAGCCGUCCCAGGAGGUAAUGGACGCCUUUGGGAGGUUGAGGAGCCAUGAAAGCGCGCCACCCUUGAGCGCCAUCGGGAACCAACAUGCCAUGAUCUUGUCGCCACCUCCUGCCGCCUUGAUGCUCAGUGUGUAGAGUUGCAGGAACUCUGUCGGGUCUUGGUUUCCGUCGUAACAUGGGGGCAGGUCGGGCUUGAACUUGCAGGGCCAUGUGCCGGGGUAGAUAUCGGGGGCGAUGGUGAAGCACCCCACCGGUCCAACAAGCACAGUACGCGCGGGGGCUGCCUGGUCUUGUUGUUCCUCAGGGUCUGCCUCGAGCAGAGCACGCUCCGGGCGCGAGAUCUACAACGCCAGGGGAGCGCACGCGUUGGCGCGGGGCCUGGGGAUCAUCUGGCAGCUUGCUUCAUCCCCGGGCCUCGCCCUGGGUUCACGCGGCCGAGCACGGAGUCGUGCUUCCUGCCCGGGCUCGGGGUCCGCGACAUGCCGCGGAGGCGAGUAUGGCGCGUCUUGCUCCUCGUUGUUCGUCAGGGACGGCUAGGGCCGGAGCAAGCAGGAGAGUGCCGCUGAGUCACCAGCGGCGGCGAUGAGUUCCUCGAUGCGAUGGAUCGAGUUGUCAUGGCGGUCUAGAGCUGGUCGGUAAGGGAGAAGCUCGGUGGUCAUGGCAAGCGGGCGGCGGCCAUGGGGCCUCCCUAGCCGAGCGCGGGAUGCCGACGCCGAAGGCCUGACGAGCGACGGCGUGGCGGUGCAGCUGUCGACAUGCUCAGUCGGAGGUUGGGAGCAGCCCUGUUGCUCUAGAGCUUCGGGGCUGGUAGCAGCAUUCACCACGGGUGACGGUGACCGACACGCACCGGCAGCACCGACGGGUGCGGUCCGGGCGAUGCGGGUGGCGCGAUGUUCCGCACGUACCCGGUGUGUAUCAGCCAUCAGAGCCAUGGAGUUUGGUGAGGACGGAGCUUGGAGUAAACCUCGACACGCCCCUACCUGGCACGCCAAAUGUUGGAUUUCGGGCUCUGCAAAACCCUAAGGACUCAAACACUGGCGCGUGUACAAAGAUCUCCCCUUCUUCGCCUCGCCUGUCUCACUACUCGAUGGAAACAAUGAAGGACUCACUAGAAGGUGAGGAGAACACAGAACCCAGCAACUUACCCAGGUUCGAGCCGCUAUGAAGCGUAAAACCCUAAUACUGCUUUGGAGGAUUGCCUCUCUUCAAGGUUGAGGAACGAGAUGGUACAUGGCUUUUGCGCCUCCGGAGGCCAAGUGGCUAAGCGUGCUGCACUAGGGUUUCGAUCCCCUCUCUCAAGUAUCUGUUGGGCAAGGUUGCAUGGGAAACAAAAAAAUUCCUACGCACACGAAGACCUAUCAUGGUGAUGUUCAUCUACGAGAGGGAGGUCAUAUCCACAUACCCUUGUAGAUCGCUAAGCACGAAGUGUUAAGAAAUGUAGUUGAUGUAGUGGAACAGCUUUGUGAUUCAAAUCACCAUUGUCCCACGAUCCGUCCCGAUCUAGUACCGAACGGACCACACCUCUGCGUUCAGCGCACGUACAGCUCGAUGACGAUCUCUGCCUUCUUGAUCCAGCAAGAGAGACGGGGAUGUAGAUGAGUUCUCCGGCAGCGUGAUGGCGUGCUGGUGAUGGUGAUGAUCUAUUCCUACAGGGCUCCGCCCGACCUCCGCAAAAAACCGAUCUAGAGGAAGAACUACGAAGUAGAGGUUUAGGGUUUCAUGUGGCAAAGUUUUUUCUCAAGAACACUAAAAUCUCUAGUAUAUAUAGUAGGAGGGGAGGGGCUAGCCUUGGGGAUCAAGAGAGCCCCUAGGGCGUCGGCCGAGUGGAGGAGGAGGGACUCCCACUCCAAUUCGGUUUGGGAAGGAGGAGUCCCUUCCUUCCUUCCCACCUCCCUCUUUUUUUUCUCCUUUGAUUUUUCCUCUUGGACGAAAUAGCCCUAUUAGGCUGGCCUCACCAGCCCACCAAGGGCUGGUGCGCCACCCAUGGCCUAUUAGGUUCUCUCCCGGGUGGGUGGCCCCCUCCCGGUAAAAACCCGGAACCCAUUCAUCACUCCCGGUACACUGCCGGUAAUGCCCGAAAUCUUUCCGGAAGCCAAAUGAAACAAUCCUAUAUAUCAAUCUUCGUUUCCGGACCAUUUCGGAAACUCACUUGAUGUCUGUCAUCUCAUCCGGGAGUCCCAACAAACCUUCGGUCGCCAACACCUAUAACUCAACUAUACUGAAACGUCACCGAACCUUAAGUAUGCAGACCCUGCGGGUUCGAGAACAAUGCAGACAUGACCUGAGACACUCCCUGAUCAAUAUCCAAUGGAGGGACCUGGAUGUCCAUAUUGGAUCCUACAUAUUCUACAAAGAUCUUAUCAGUUGAACCUCUGUGCCAAGGAUUCAUAUAAUCCCGUAUACCAUUCCCUUUGUCCUUCGGUAUGUUACUUUCCCGAGAUUCGAUCGUCGGUAUCCCUAUACCUAUUUAAAUCUCGUUACCGGCAAGUCUCUUUACUCGUUCUGUAAUACAAGAUCCUGUGACAAACACUUUAGUCACAUUUCUUGCAAGGCUUAUAUGUGAUGUUGUAUUACCGAGUGGGCCCCGAGAUACCUCUCCGUCACANNNNNNNNNNNNNNNNNNNNNNNNNNNNNNNNNNNNNNNNNNNNNNNNNNNNNNNNNNNNNNNNNNNNNNNNNNNNNNNNNNNNNNNNNNNNNNNNNNNNAGCAUGUUUUCUCGAGCCAUGUUGGUACAUGAACAUGGACAUACACAUAUUCUUAGGAACAAAUAAGAAAGAUAAAUGGAGAAGGAAAACCCAAAGCAAUGUCAGAGUUGACAAAACUGCAAUGGCACUUUAUAUGUGGCCCAUCGUCAGUGAGCUGUUUAUGCCUUGCCGGACUCCUCGCAGCCUGGUGGCUUGAAGGCGAUGAAGCUGACGCACUGCACCUGACGCAUGUUGUCGAAUCCGAUGAUGCGGACAUACGCGUCAGGGUACUCCUUCUUGACCUCCUCCACCUCGUUGAGCACCUGUGUGGCGUCGGUGCAUCCGAACAUAGGCAGCUUCCACAUUGUCCAGUACCGGCCAUCGUAGUACCCAGGAGAUGCGUUGUGCUCACGGAAGAUGAACCCAACCUUGCUGAACUCGAGGCAAGGCACCCACUUGGAGCGGAUCAGGUAGUCGACCUGCUUAAGGAGGGCCUCCGUGCUGAGUGGUGGCAAGUAAGACAGGGUCUCGAACUUCUUGAUGCCCUCGAUGGGCCACACCUGCAAAUCAGAUUCACGUCUAUACAUUAAGAGACUAUAACUCUAGUUCUACACGUUUGAUUGUUCUUCUUGACAUCCGUCGGCUUAAAAAUGACUAGAAAGACAGAGACGAUGUUGUUUACCUGCAUGCACCUGAUCCUUCCACCGUUGCUGACGCUGCCGAGGCUAGCACCGUUCGAGCGGCGGCUGACGGGGAGGCCGGCGGUGGACUUGAGCCCCUGGAAAGGAGCGACGGAGGUGGCCGACGAGGCCAUCACGGUGGGGGCCAUAGCUGUACUAUGUAGGUAUAUAGCUUGCUAGAGGGAGGCACACUGGCUUGAGGACUG